UCUCCCCUCACUUUUCUCUUUUCCUCCCGAUUCUCUCUCCUCCCACCCGAUUUUCUUCUCCCUCCGCCCGGAAACUUCACCACCGCCGUCCGCCGCCGUCCGGCCACCACCGACCGCCAGACUGGUCCCGUUCGGACCCUUGCCUCUUCCUCUCUCAUCCUGGACCGGUGCACGCGUGCGGAACGCCGCCGUGAAGGAGCAGUCAACCCCGAAAGGUUCGACUGCCGGAAAGGGUUUUUCGCCGGAGCUCCGUCUUCCGGCCACCAUAGGUCGUGAUUUUUGGCUCAACCUGUAGCCCUCAUCUAGGUGAGUAAUCCUUCAAAAGGUUUCGGCUAAAUUCGAUUUCGUUAGGGUGGUUUGUAUAAUUGAAAGUUUUAGGGAUUUAUGGAUGUUUUUAGUCGAUUGCCCUAGUUAGGCUUGGAAUUGGUGUUUGUGCUAGUUAUGAAAGUUGUAGAGCUUGAUGAGAGGAUUAUUCUGUCAAAAUUUCAUAGGUUUUGGAGGUCGCCGGAAUUGGCCUCCUGCCGCCGCUGCCGGCGGAGCUACCGGCGGCGCCGCCGCCGGUUAGGAAAUUUUUAGGGUUUUAAGUGUGGAAUAUUAAGAGGAGUUUAUUGAUGUGAUUUAUGGAAUUUUUGGAUGAGAUUUGGAUAGGUUUGUGAAUUUCCGAAGUUUGGAUUUUUGGCGGUUAAUUAAUGUAGAAUCCGACCGUAGGAUUUAAGUCGUAAUUUGGGGAGGUUGUAUUUACGACUGUUGAGUAUGAUAUUUAAGUUCGGAUCGUUCCGAUUUAAGAAUAUCGAAGUUAGGCAUUGAUGAGCGUAUUUAUGGCUCUCUGGUAAUUUUGCCUAUUUUGAUUAAAUAUUGGAUUAUUGGUUGGGAAAUUAAUAUUAUAUUUGGAACAGGACGUGAGGAGGCUCGAGCAGACGAGGCCCCAGAUCGACAUCAGGCUUAGGCCAAAUUUGUGAUUGGACGUUUAUUUUAAAUAAAUGCAUGCUAUGGUUCAUGGUUGAACAAUUAAUGUUGCGGAAUAUUUUAACGUCAUUUUAAUUUGACGAUUUUUAUUUCUCUUGGAGAGUUACCGAAAAUGGGAUUUUCGGUGGAUAUAAAUAUGUAUUUAUGAGAGAGUAUGUAUAUAAAUGCUAGCUAGCCAUAUGUGUCUGUCCACCUUAAUGGCGUAGCAUAUAGCCGCAUUAUGGUGUGACGUGAGCGUUGGACGUAAGCGUAGUAGCCCUAUUUGAGUGUUUAAUUCAUAUAGGGGGUAUGGACACAUAUUUAUACACCCGUCUGUCCACCUUGAUGGCGUAGUGUAGCACCGCAUUAAGGCGUGACGUGAGCGUUGGACGCGAGCGUAGUAGCCCUAUAUAGACCCAUGAAUUUAUAUAGGGAGUAUGGACGAGUGUAAAUACAUACAUAUAUUAUAGAGUCUGAGAGGCUCGAUAUUUUAUGGGAUAAAAUUUUUAUCGCUUGCGGUAUGCAUUCGAUUUUUCCUUAGAAAUUAAUUUGGGGAAACAUAAAUAUUUUAUUUAUUAUUUUAUUUUUGUCCACUCACUCUAACGUUAUUAAAUGUUUUCCCCUGGGCCCUUCGUUUUAAAUUGCCCAGUCUGCAGAGUUCGGGUUGGAUCUAGUAGGAGACGAGGCAUAGUCACCCGCAUUUCUGCCAGUUUUCGUCAGUAGGUUACCUGUUCAACCUACUCGUGUUUUCUUUCUUCCGCUUGUGUUUAGUAGCUCUGAAUACUUUGGGAUUAUUGUAUAUUAUGUGUAGAAUUUCUGAAGGAUGAUUAUGUGAUGUUCGGAAGUGUUGAAUUAAGAGUGUAAUAUGAAAUUUUUGAGUUAGGGUUGUCCAUCUGCAAGGGAGAUUUGCUUAAUCUUUUCAGUAAAUUUUCCUUGGAGGUGGUCCCCGCACGACUUACUCCGGGUUUUUGGGUGAAAUUUGGGGUGGGUCGUGUCACACAGGACAACAAAGUCAUGGUAAGGACAUAGCGGAGCUCAAGAAGCAAAUGGGUCAAGUAGUGGACUUCAUGGGAAGAAUAACUGAAUGUGGAAAGUUUCCACCCAACACCGUUCCGAAUCCCAACUUUGAAAGACUCUAAACAUUAAGCGCUGUUUGGGAGGACCUAAUUCAACACAGAUUUGCUUUCUUCUCUCUUCUUCUCUUUUAUUUAUGUUUUUGUGUGCUUUGUUUGUUUUUCGUGACUCUUUCUUCCCAUACUUUGAUUCUAUGCUUAAUCUUGUGUUACAUUAUGGACAAUGUUGGGUUUCAAUGUGGGGGAAGGAUUUACAUCUUUUUGUGUCUUUUAUUGAAAAAUAAAAUCAAAAAUCAAAAAAUUUGAAAAUCUAAAAAUAAUUUUUGUUUUCUGUUUUAGUCUUUUGUUUUGUUUUUGAGUCUUAGGAGCCCUUAACUGUACGUCUAUGAUGAGUGAUAAUCUCUGAAAUUAUGGAUAAGAUCACAAGAUGAUUUCUAACUAAUAUUCAGUUGUUAAUUGACAUGAAUAGAAAUCAUGUGAAAUGUAGUGGAUAUGAUUUGAAUCUUUGGUACAGAAAUGAGCAUGCUAAGACAAGUUUUUGAUUCAUAUGACCUUAAAUGUGAGCUUGUGAGCAUAUUUGUGUCAUUCUUUCUAAGUGAUAAUUGAAAUAUUCUGAUUCGUUUUCUUGGCUAUAAUUUUUCGAAAACCUCAUUAUUGUUUUAGUUUGAUUGAUUGCUCACCACAGCUUUUAAUGAAUUCUAGAUGACUAGAACUCACUCUUGUGGACUUUCGAAACUUUUAAUCAUAAAACGCUCUGAUUUUGAAAAGGAUAAAUGAAACUUUUUAGGAUGAUCACCAUUGCCAAACAAGCUUGUGCCCCUAUUUGUGUGUGUUGCACACCCCUUAGUUUAAACCUCUUUGAGCCUACGUUAAGUCUUUUCUUUCAUCACCAAUACAAUUUUUAUGUUGAUCUUAGUACAGUGAUAUCUCUACCCUUGUCCUUUCGGCUUAGUAGAGCAAUUGUGAUAUAUUGUAUGAAGUGAUGUUGUGAAACAAGUGUGGGGGAGUUGAAUGUCUGUGUAAAAGAAAAUGCCGUGAAAAGCAUAAAAGAAAACAAAAUUUCGGCAGAAAAAUAAAAAGAAAAAAAUGGACAUUGUCUUUGUGUUGUGAAAUGGGAGUUUUGGUUGUAAGUGGAAGGCCCAAAAACAGAAUAUUUGGCCUUUGUUCUUUUUCACAAUGUUUGAAGGUGUUUAGAAUGACGAAGGGCCCAACAAGAUGACAUUUGGCCCUUGCUUUGGCGACAUAAGGCAUGUUUGAAUGCUCUGCUAGGUCAUUAGGAAUUGUGCAAUUCCUUACUCUUCAAUUCAUAACCCUAGCCUAGCCAAAUUAAUACCUUUUAAAGUUCCUUUUGAUCUAAAAGAUGAGUAAACCUUGAUCUGUGGAGUUUGUUCCAAGAGUUGAGCCUAUGGUGUGGUUCAUUUGUGUGAGUAAUUGAUUCUUUCAUGAGGUUUAUAUCUGCUCUAUUGUGCUUUUGUUCAUAUAAAUGCAAGCUUUCUGAUUCUAUCUUGCAACUAUCGAGUGAUUUAGACAGAAAAUCUAAGUGAAAAAUGAGUGCAUAUCUUGUGAGAAUGAAUCAUACUUAUUUGAAACAUGCUGAGCUUAAAUAUCACCAUUAUUCUAUCAGGUCCUACAUGUAAAUAUGUGAUCUAUACAUGACAAUUAGCUUUUGAAACUUCAUGGAAUGAUUCUUGAUUAAGUGCUAAUUUUGAUGUCAUGAGAUUGGAGAUUCUGAGACAAUAUGUUAUGGGCAAUAGAGUUAAUUGUUUGUUGAGUCUUGUAGUUGUGUAGUUUCUGGUUUGUGUGUUUUGAGUCUUUUUGAUUGAUUUUGCCAAGAGACUAGCAAAAGCUAAGUGUGGGGGAAUUUGAUAGGUGCAUUUUAUGCAACGUUCUUAAUGUAUUUCUGACCCUAUUUAGCUAUAUAAUUCCUUUAACAAUAUUGAUUUUAACUUAGUUUGUGUUUUUAGGUUGCAAAUAAAGCCGAGGAGCACAAAAGAAACAUAUGAGGAGAAAUCUUGAAGGAAGAGGAAUCCAUAUGGCGCAAGGAAAGAAAUCAGAAAAUCUGUCAAGAAUAGUUAGUCAACUUCGACAGAGUAUUGUGAUCAGCUCACAAUGAUCCAGGAGAUAAACCUUAUAUCAACGGAAAGCUAGAAGAGUCUAGUUUCCAGAAAUUUUUGCGGAUCGUCAAUAGCUAUUUUGGAGAAGACGUUAUGACUGUUUGAGUGACCAAAGGUCAGUCUGCCCGAAUUUCUGAUUUGGACCGAAACUUCAAUUUCAAGGCCCUGACCACAACGGCGAGCCCAUGGACGAAAAUUAAAGGUUCUCUAACCCUAAUAGCAGCUGUUCAUAUGUUCUCUAUAUGUAUGAGGAGAUGUGAAAAAGGGGUCGCUCUUUGCCACAGAAAAACAACGUCUUUCAUCUCCUUCAGAAAUUCUUCUCGAAACACAAACCCUAAUUUUAGGACUUCUCUUGACGUGCCAUCUCCUUUGUAAUCCUCGGUGUAGUUCCUUGUUUCAAUACAAAGUGUAAUCUAAACUCAGACCUCAUGUUUUCUUUUACUAUCUAUUCAAUUACUUUAGUUUGUUUUCAUCUCUCUUAUUCGUUUGUGUUCAUGAGUUGGAUUUUUGAUUGAGUUUGUUCUUAUAAUCAUGAAAAUCAGAUCUGUACACUUGAGUUGUUUGUGUAAUUGAUGAUGCUUUUGAUGAUCUAAAUUGUGUUUAUGUGUGAUUGACAACUUAUGACUUGUUAUUAAUCAAUAUGUGCCAUUGUUUGUGUUAAGUCCGCGUCGGUAAACAUGAACUAGAAUGGUAAGGAGUUAUAGGUUGCAUGCUAGGAUGUUUUUGAAGUCCGCGUCGGUGAAUUACAUUCUAACAAGUUCAAGUUCUUCCUCUGAUCUAUUUUAGAUAUGAAGUCCGCGUCGGUACAUAUCUAUGAGAAGUUAGAAGGAUUUUAAGUAGUUAAGUCCCCGUCAGUAAAUUACUUGAAAUAUGGAAUUUGAUUCGUUUCUCCAUAUGCAUGAUUUAGGUUGUUAGGGUUGAAAUUGCAUAGCUACUUGAUUAUAUGAAUCUGAUUUAGUGUUUUCUUUUAUAUAGUAGCUUAGGUUUUUGUUUCUUUAUAGUUUAGGAUUUUCGUCACUCUUCUGUCCCCUGUUUUAUUUUAUUUUAUUUUCAUAUCAAACGAUCUCCGAUCCCCUUGAAAAUUUCUACAGUUGUUCCUCUGUGUGUCUAAUAUAUCUCUGUAAAUUUUCGUAUUUUUCUGAGUAGUUUGGGUUAGGUUUUUAAUUAGGUUUUCAACUACUAUUCAUUAGAAACAGUAGCUACUUUUGUAAAUUGUUUAAAGAUUUUAUUACUUGUUAAUAUUAGUCAUGUUUUACUAACGUUUUGUUUUGCAAGGUACCCUCAAUCCCCGGCCCUAUACGAUACCCUUAUUUACCUUAUGCUACUGACGAUAAAAAGGGUUUAUUUGAUGCAGGUUUUGCACCCGUCACCCGAGAUGGCUCACAAAGUCAGGUAUGAAUUUGUGGAUUUGCAGUAGUUUGUGAGUUGAUCCAUUGUGACUCUUAGAUCAAUGUUUACAGUAUCGUCCUUUUUUGGAUGGAUUACAUUGGAAUUUAGUUGUGGGAAAGUUCGAUUACACUAGUUUGUCAGCUACCGACAUUAUGUUUCUGGUAGGAACCUAUAUAUGGAAGAGAUACUCCGCCAAAAAAAGGCACCAAAUAUUCCGACAAGCGCAUAUUGGCCCCUUUAGAGUCAAUGCCGAUAGAGAAGAGACUGACAAGAGACUUGUCCUCUUUGUUUAUGACAUAGAGACGGACUUGCAACUGAGCGAAACCAUCGUUGAUAGUGCUAGUGGCUGCAUCUUUACCACAUGUGAGGACACUCCGACCGGAAAGGUUCGUCAAUGACAACAUUAUAACAUUGUUUGCUGACUAUCUAUGGCAAGACCUAGAGGAGGCAAUAGUGUUUACUUUACAGCCUAUUUCUGUCGGAAGACGAUGCAGUGCAGUAAAGAGUUAUCUUCAAGACAUGUUGUCAAUGGUGUAAGUUUGAAGGAGUUAGGUGUGAGAAGAUUUUACAAUGACAUUCCUACAUGCAAAAAGGUAUGUCACGACAUAAAACAUUGGUACCUGUUGGUGGUGCGUCUUGAUGUCCAAAUAGCUGAAAUGUGGGAUAGCUUGGGAUGUAGCAGGAGACGGAAGAAUCAGUGCAAAACCGUUGUCAAUUGUUCAUGUUUUAUUCUAAACAAAACAAAAUGACUCUUAAGCCUUGUAUUCAGUUUAUGUUAUUGGGAUCGUGCCUAAUGUUUAAUGACUGUAGCUCCAAGGACUUGACAUGAUUUACAGAAGUGUGAAAUUCACUACGAAACCCUUCGGGCCGGAGGCAAAAAAGUUUGCAGACUUCACCCUCGAUGAGCCAGCUCAUUCCCCAAAACAGGAGGGUGGAGCUGAUUGUGGGAUUUUUACAAUCAAACACAUGCAGAACUAUGGAUCAGAGUGGUGGCAUAAGGUAACCAAAAUGUCUCUUUCAGUCUUACACUUAAAUUGUAUGGCAGGAUGGUACUUGAAUCUAAAAUGGACUUUCUAAAACAAUGUAGUUUGAUUCGCACACUAUUCGCAUGGAAUUAACCAUUGACUUGGUGAGGAGCAAAUUCAACAAGUGCUAGAAAUGGAUCAAGAAAACCAUCAACGCUCCCUAAUGUAAGUGGAUCGUAGGUCAUUUUUAGGCUUUUUAAUCCCUAAUGUAGAUCAGUACUGAUAGUUUUGUAGAUCAUGUGGGUUAUCAAGUUAACGCUUGACUGAACCAAGAACAAUGAUAUUGAUAUGGUGUUACAUGUUUCACGUAUUUUACGUACUGAUAUUGAUGUUACCUGUUUCACGUAUUUUACGUACUAAUAUUGGUGUUACCAGUAUAAUCACUUGUCAUGUAUAUUGGUGUACAUAUGAUACUGCACAAAAGUAAGAAAAAACAUCCAAGCAAUAAACUGGCCUGCACAACCCACUGCUGAACUUAGAUUACACUUUAUUAUGCCAACCACGAUAAUGACUCAGUCUCAUCUAAAUAGAGUAGUUACAUCCAUAGAGCACUUGCUUAGUGAAAAUCAUCAAUAUCUAGAGAGAAUUCAGGGUCUAAAGGCCACCACCAAUAGCCUGCUGGAGGGGAAUUGGAAUUCCUGUCUUCAAAGUGAUGCAUUUCAUGUUCCCAGUAGCACAAUCCACAACUGCAUCUCUUUACGUUGUUUGGUCCAACGUUGUACAAGUGUGCGAAAGUGCCGCAUGGUCUUUUAGUAACAUCGGCUAUAUGUGUGCAAAAUCCUUCUAUCGUAGCAGAACACUGAUGAGUUUGCAUGGGGUUGACUUCCUUCUCCAGAACAACUUGAUGCUCCACAUCUGGUUUGGGGCUUAGUUGGUGUUGGCUUGCUUCUUCGACAUCCACCAUAGCAUUUUUCAGAACAGCUUCAUGCUCCACAUAUGAUUCUUUUAGCAGGUUAGACAUCUUUCAACGAAAAGGUUGUGGUCACUGAAGCACUCUUAUAUACAAACGUAUUAGGUGGGAAUUGUGAUUUCAAAUUGGUUGAAAUUGAUAUCAAAUUUCAAAAGUAACCGCCAUCCACCAAACUGAAAAUUCUAACUUGUCCCAAACCAAAUUUUUCAAGUGCCGCCAUCCACCUCAAAUUUUACGGAUCACCAGCGUGUCUUCUGUCUCAGCCGUCAAUCCUAAACCCUACUUUUCAUCUGCAUCGCACAAGGUUGAGGAACCAUAAACAAUGCCCAUUGGCCCAAACCCGGAACCCUAACUUAAUGGGUUUAGAUCAACGGAGAUGGGAUAUUUCAAGGACGGGACCUUCCUUAUUUUACCUCAAAUGUAAUUCUUGGAAAUCUUCCAACGUAAGCACCUUCUAAGUAAAGAUAUUGUUUCCAAGUGUGACUCUUCAAUCUUAUACGUGCAUAUCACCAUAUCUCAUGUAAUCAUCAUCAGAUGCCAAUAGUAAGGAAUGUAAUCUCAGUUAUAUACUUCAAAGCAAUUAGGACCUCUUUGCAUGAUAUCCUUCCUUGAUCACGUCUUCUUAACUAGCAUGAAACACGUCCAUAUUGCCUUUUCCAUGAAAGAUCUUCCAUGCUGCUCAAUAUCGGUAACCAAACAAUCAUCCAUAAUAUUUCAAGGGGUGAGGUUGAGUCUACGUAGUCAUGAUUUGCCUAUACAAUUGCUCAUGAUUUAGGUAGACCUAUGUCAUACAACAAGUGGACUUAUUUUACAAUUUUUACAAUUUAUUUUCCUUAUUUUUUGGAAUUGGUAAGGUCAUGAUUUGCCUAUACAUUGCUCAUGAUUUAGGUAGACCUAUGUCAUCCAACAAGUGGACUUACCAAUUACCCAAGACGGCUGAUCAAACCCCAAGAUGUCUGAUCAAAGCCCAAGACGUCUUAUCGGUUAAAUCGAGUUGGUCACCGCAUUAUUAUUACCGCUUCGUAAACAAGCUUGACUAUUCGAAUGGGUAAGACUUAAUGCAACCUUGCCUUUUCACUUGCCUUAUAAUGUCACAUCUCGACCCUUAAAUUUUUUUACCUUAUUUACUAGCUUAGUAUUAAUAAGAAUUUUACCGUCUCCAUCAAUAAGUUAUGGUUUAAUUGGUCCCUAGAGGGGUUUUGAGGGACGAUUAUUUCGGAGAAUUAUUCGUAGGAGAAAAAUUUGACGACGGUAAAAAUGGUAAAUUUUAGCUAGUAAAAUGUAAUUUUUAUUAGGGUAUUAUUUUUUCGGGGUAUUUUAUUUUGGAGUGGGUUGGUAUAAGGGUGUUGGACCGGGUUGGUGUGAGGCCCAAACACCAUUUCUCCUCUCUCUCUCUUCUCCUCUCCCUCCUGACUUCUCUCCCGACCCGGAAACUUUCCGGCCGCCGUUUGCUGCAGCCCGCCGCACUGGUCUCGUUCGGUCGGCUUUUAACCCAGCUAUCUCCCUGGACCGGUGGCAGCUCCUCUAGCGCCGCUGUGAGGGAGUUCUCUCCCCCGAAAGCCCUGGCUGCCGUGAUGGUUUCCACGCCGGAGCUCCCUCCUUCGGCCACCAUAGCAGGAGCUGCUUGAGUCUUUUGGAAGCUCUCCUCCCGUGCAUCAAUCCCUCCAAAGGGCUCAACCUCUCUUGGUCUAGAUAAGGAGAACCGAUGAGUGGAAGUUCUGGGGCUUUUUGUGAUGUUUUUGUUCGAUUGACCUAGUUAGGCUUGGAAUUGGUGUUUGUGCUAGUUAGGAAAGUUGUAGAGGGGGCUGAGAGGAAGCUGUUGUUGAAUUUUGGUAGGCAUUGGAGGUCGCCGGAGUCGGCCUCCUGUCGCCGCUACCGGUGGAGCGAGCGGCGGCACCGCCACUGUUAAGGGGGUUUUCAUGGUUUUAAGUGUGUUAUAUUAAGGGGAGUUUAUUAGUAUGAAUUAUGGAAUUUUUGGAUGAGUUUUGGAUAGGUUUGUGAAUUUCCGAAGUUUGGUAAUUUUGGCGGAUUAAUAAGGUAGAAUCCGGCCGUUGGAUUAAAGUCGUAUAAUCUGUGGAAGGGUGUAGUUUAGGCUGCUGGUUUUAGUGUGGAGGUGUGGACCGAAUCGAAGUUAGGCAAUGAUGAGCGAGUAUGGGUCUCGGUUAAUUUUGCCUAUUUUGUUUAAAUAUUGGAUUUUUAGUUGGGAAAUUAAUUAUAUAUUUGUACCAGGGUUCGAGGAAACCUCACUGGAGUGGCGAUUUGGAUUUCGUCGGGCUUAUGCCUAGAGUUGUGAGAGGACCUUUGUUUUAAUUGAAAAGCAUGCGAUGAAGUAUUUUGUUGAUCAUUUAUUUCUUCUGAUGAGACUUAUUGAUUUCUCGGUUAUUUGGCAAUUUUUCCUCCUUUGGAGAGUUUCCCGAAAAUGAGAUUUUCGGUGGAUAUGUAUUUUGGAUGUUUAUGAGUAUAGCAUGUAUAUAAAUACUAGCUAGCCAUACGUGCUUGGUCCGUCAUAAUGAGGUAAAAUACCAUUAUGGCGUGACGUGAGUGUUAGACACAAGCGUCAUAAGCCUAUAUGAAAACUACUUUCUUUUCUGGUUUAUUCACGUUUUCAUAUACGGAGUCCACACGUAUAUAUACACCGUCCUCUUCGGUCAUAAUGAGGAAAAAUUCCAUUAUGGCGCGACGUGAGCGUUAGACCCAAGCGUCGUAGUCUUGUAUGAAUUUCUAUUUUUCUAAUUUGUUCAUAAAAUUCAUAUAAGGAGUCUGACGAGUGUAAAUACAUACACAUAUAUGUUUAUAUAUAGUUUAGCCUAAGAGGCUCCAUUUUAUUUGAGUUGGUGACUAGCCGGAGCUAGUCGUGAAAUUGCCAGUUUAUGAGUUGAGCGCUUUUGAGCGAUCGCAUGCAGUAUAAUUUCUUUGGAAAUUAAAAUGGGAAUGCAUAAAUAUUUUUAUUAAUUUAUUUUUGUCCACUCACUCGAACGUGUUUCAAAUGUUUUCCCCUAGGCUCUUCGUUUUAAAAAUGCCCAGUUUGCAGGAUUGAAUAGUUGAGGUCGGGCGUACAUAGAGAAGAGGUAUAGUCAAUAGUAUAGCUUCCGCUCAUUAUAUUUUUUUAGUUCAUCUCCUUUCAAAUAGAAUUGCUCUGAACUGUGGUUGUUGGUUAUGAGAUUAAAUUGUUAGAGUUAGUAAUUAAAUUGGGAGAUGUUGUGAUUUGGGGAGCACGAAGGCUCCAGGAGUAGAGGGUUGUAGAAGGAUUCUUUUGAAGUGUGUGCAGGUAUUUCUAGGAAGGGUCGUCCAUCUUCAAGAGAGGUUAUGUCGAUUUUUCGGUAAAUUUUCCUUGGAGGUGGUCCGCGUAGGAUUUACUUCGGGUUUCAGGGUGAAAUUCGGGGUGGGUCUUGACAUAUAACCUCCUUUGAGUGAAACUUUUCCACCAAACCGCUAUCACCCAGUUUCCAGCAAACCAGAUAGUACCUUUCAAGCCAAACUUGUCAAUGGCAAACACAGCUCCUUCUCUUCCUCUGUUCGUAGCCAAGGUAACAAAGCAGGGGUCAAUGUAACUGAAUUGGUACGAGUGCUCAUUAUCUCCGGUUGCAUUUUUUAAUUUUUUUACUAAACCAUCUACCAAUCAUAAUCAUUUGUUUGACGUUGCAGGAGAUACCCUGGUCAUUUUCCGACAAAUACAUGGUCGGUGAUGUCGAAAAAAAAGGUCUUAUCUACUUAGACGGUUAUCCGAAAGACUGGCCAUUUUCUGUGAAACGGGGUCAUGAGUGGGUUGAGUUGCGCAAGGGAUGGGGUGUAUUUGUGAACGAGGUUAUACAGAACAAUUCUGAGGCCUACCUUGUGGUGGAUUACAUGGGAGACAUGCAAUUCAAGGUUAGGGCAUUUUACUCGGAUGGAAACAUUGUCAUUGACGUUCCCCUUUGCUUGAGCCGUCUACCUGAGCAUGCCUUUGGAUUUUACAGAGUACCGAUUUUACAUAGGACCCCGUCCUGAAUUCUGUAGGGGUGCCACCCAUGCUUCUGAGCGCCCAAUGGUAACUUUCUUCAACUUUCACUAUUGCAUUGAAGUUCCAUUGUGGUUUGUCUUGAGAGUGUUCUUAUUAUUUUAUGCAUGUUAUUAUUAACAGAUCAAUGCUCACGGACCAUUCCACAAACAACUUCUUGAUGUCGGAAUGGGUCUGUUUGAGUUUCACCUAAAGGUGACGCCGACGAUUAAAACGGUCGUGCAGUUUACUCACACAAACAGAAACUAUAUUGAGUUCGGCACCGGGUGGAACACCUUUUUGGCGUUGUACGGGAUCCAAAGUGAAGAUUUCACUAUGCCAGAUAAUGCAUCACACGAUAGGGAAAAAGCAUCGUGUGUUAAAGGUCAAAUCCGUUGUUAAUCUGAUCGUUGUCUGAUCAACAUGUCAUACAACGGCUCUGACUAACUGACACACAACGCUACAAUAAAAACCAUUGUGUGAUUCUCGACAGAUAUCAUCGACAUAUGUUGAUGAAUUAUGUCGAGAAUCACACAAUAGUUUUUGUAGAAUAUUGUUGUGUGAUUCUCAGUAGAUAUUAUCGACAGAUGCCGACACAUGCCGAGCUACUUCUCGUCAGCUGUCGAUGAUAUAUGUCGAGAAUCACACAACAGGUUUUCCAAUAAAAACCCUUGUGUGAUUGUCAAGUCACACAACGGUUUCCUUUCAAGAGUUGUUGUGUGAAUAUCAAUAAAUUUCAUCGGCAUACGUCGAGAUCAUUCGGCAUUGUAGUCGGCAACAUUUGUCCACACUCACACAAUAGUUUUCUUGCUGUAAACUAUUGUGUGAAGUUAUCUUCAUACAACGAGUUUUAAGGUUUCAUGGUUGUCUGAUUGUUAAAUAGUACACAGAGUUUUUGCUAGUAGGUAUUGUGUGAUCAAUACUCACAUAACGUAUCAAUGUUAGAAUAUAGUUGUCGGAUCAUUUAGUCAGACAACAUUGGAUUGUCAUUAACUUGUUGUAUGAUGUUGCAUUUCAUACAACGUUGGAUUAUCAUCAUUUAGUUGUAUGAUGUGCUCCAUUGAUGCCCUAAUACCAAAUUUACCUAAUGAACAAUAUUACAAGUGAUAUUUCCAAACCAUCCAAAGCAUUGUUAACAUUCAAACAACCAAAAUAUGAUAUAAAGAAUCCAAUGCAUUGUUAACAUUAACAUGACAUGUAAAACAUAUGCCCAUCAUCCUAACAACCAUUAAAAAUAAGAAAAGCAUUCAAAUACAUGCCCAUCAACUAGGGACAUCAAAAGCUAGCUGAUACCUAGUAUCAAUUGUACUAAAAACAUGCCACAUAUCAUGCAUGAAUAUUGUACCAGCUGAGAAGCACAAAAAAGAUGUUUUCUCUGAACAAGAAGAUAAUACGUCAAUCACGGCUUACUUCACAUACUUCUUGACAGCAAAGUCUGCCCACUCAUUUCUCACCUCAUCCAAAUCUUCCUGAGUGUAUUUGCAGCUGCCUCUCUUGUCCCACUAAAUUAAACAAAGAACAAAAAUUAGAUAUAUAUAUAUAUAUAUAUCCAAUCAAGCCCCUAGAGGCAUAAGCUGUAUAUCUGCUAUCUCAAUCUAGAUAUACAUAUAAACCAGACACAACACUUGGUUUUUCAGUUAUCAUUGUAACUUAACACUGCUAUAUAUAUAUAUAUAUAUAUAUAUAUGAUAAACAUAAUAAACAUAUUAAUAAGAUCUGUUAGUUAAUCUGAGAUUGAUGAAGAUUCAAUGAACCAGACACUAAGAUCCAAAAAGGAACCAUUCCCACUUAUUCAACAAAACACCAAAAAUGAUAGAUCAAAACAAUAAGUUUACAACAUAAAUUCCAUUAGGCAACAAAUUAAUAAGAUCUGUUAGUUAAUCUGUGUAUCCAUACCAGCUAGCUGUCACCCUUUUAGGAAAAAUUAAAAUUAAUACCCGCAGUAAUGAUUGACUGACUUUGCUAACAAAGAUCAGAUCUCAGUCCUAUAAUGGAGAUAUCACUUCAAGUCAAAUACCAAUUCUAAUCAUUUCAUCAAGUCAGGGCACCAGAAUUAGCAGUAUAAUCUUCUGUUUAGUCUGUCUAUUUUGUAGUAUUUGAAUCAUUAAGUUGGUGGGAAAAAAUAAAACUAUUCUAGUCUCUGAUAUAUAGUACUGCUCCAUGGAACUCCAAAUAUAUAAUAAACAUAUUAUUAAUACUUAAGCUCUAUUGAAUGACUCUCCAAAAACAGAUUUUAUAUCUUGGCAACAAACCGUGACGUGUUUUUGUCUUCGAUUAUUUCCCUCAUGUAUCGCAUGACAUAGUAUCCACAUUCCUUGUCGCUUGGUUGGAAAGGCAUGCCCUAAAAACAAACCAUUACAAAACAAUUCCACACAACUAAGAUACACUGAGACAUCUACUACUUAAAAUGCAGAUGACACUCACAGCCAAAUUUUUAGGGAUCAUUGAGCUUCGUCCAUUCCUCUUUCUUGCAGUGUUAGCCAUAGCCAUUGCACUAAAGAAGACAAAAAAAAUAAAUGGAUGUAAGGGAGACUGUCACACCCCGGUUCUUAAGUUAUUUUUAUGGUUAUUUACUUUUGGUAUUACUUUGGUCUUUUACCGUUUUAAGAAACCGUUUAUUAUUUAAGACUCCAAAAGUUGACUUUUUCUUUCAUUUGGAAUUUGGGAAAACUUUCUUCAAGAAAGUCGUAGAGGACAUUAAUAUGAAUUCGUAGACAUGCUAUACGUUACAAUCGGAGUUAGCGUGAAAAAGUUAUCAAAUAAAAGGGUAAAUUUUGAGUUGGUAAAAAGGGGGGUAAAAAUUUAGUGGGUUUUAUUUUUUUGGUGGGUGUUUAAAUUGGACCGGGUAGGUGUGGAGAAGCCCAACACCCACCCACACUCUCUUUCUCUCUCUCUCCCUCUUUCUUCUCUCUCUCUCUCGUGAGAUCUUGGUAGGGAGAAAUGUAUAAUUGAAGUUCUAGGGUUCAAUUUAAGGUUUUGAUUUGAUUACCCUAGUUAGGCUUAGAAUUGAACUAAGUGCUAGUUAUGGAAGUUGUUGUGCGUAUUGAGAGGAUUGUUGUGUUAAAAUUUGGGAAGCAUUGGAGGUCGCCGGAGUACGGUUGCCGGCUGAGCAGGCGGCGGCGCCGCCCCUUAAAGGCAGUUUUUCAUGUUUUUGAGAUGGUUUUAAUGAAAGGGGUUUAAUGAAGUAAAGUUUGGAAAUUUUGGAGGAGUUUUGAUAAGGUUUGGGAUUUUCCAAUGAUUAAUGAUUUUGGCGGUGAUUAGAAUGAAAAUCUGUCCGUUGGAUUUCCUUGGUAUUUAUUCUAGAAUGUUAAAAUUGAUGAAUUGAGGUUUUGGUGGAGUUUGGCGUGAAUCCGACAAGCUUAACCCUAGUAAGAGUGGUGGAUUAAGUGGAAGAGAUUUGAGGGUUUAUAUUCAAGUAUUUAUUUUCCGGAAUUGAAGUUUGGUCCUAAGCAUAUUUAUUGUGCCAGGAUAUGAAGGGAACCUCGCUUGAGUGGUGAUGCGGAUAUCGUCGGGCUUAUGCCUAAAUCUGUGAGUGGACAUUUUGGUUUUAAAUAAAUAUGCAUGCAAGAUUUUUAUAAUUUAUUAUUUUAUUUUCCGAGCGUAUAUUAUAAUUUCGACUUAUGAAAUGAUCUUGGAAUUUAUUUGAGUUUGAUGCAUUGAUUAAGUGUUGGUCAUGAUUUAUGGAUUUGAGCUCGGAUUAUUAUUUUGAUAUUUGAGUUUGGAUAUUCUUUAUAAAUUCCGGAUUUUAUUAUAAUGAUUGUUUAAAUGGUAGACUUUGAGAUUUAUAAAAGAUUUCCGAAAAUAGGAUUUUCGGUAAUUCUCUUUUUAUAACUAUCUCAUUUAUUUGUGGAUUAUCAAUCUUGGCAUUGAGAAUCUUUUAGCGAGUAUUUUCGGAGGGAGGAAUUAUUUACAAUUUAUACUUGUUAAUUAAACUCGCUUAUAUUAUGGAUUUGAGAAUAUUUUGACGUGUGAGACACGUCAUUGAGUUUAUUUUAAUUUCUUAUGAUAAUUUCCAAGAACGGUUGGGAACCGUACCAUUCGUAUGAUCUUGAGGCAGUUUAAUGGAUUUAAAUGAUUUCGUAUGUUUUUAGUCACCAUAAUAUAGGGUUGCUUAUAUUGAUUAUUGCUAGCUAACCAUUAUUAGCGGUCCUCAUCAUAUGUGAGUUGAGCGCUUAGCGUGGGACGUUAUUAUAGCCUGAGAGGCAUCGACCCGAGACGUAGAGGCUCCUUUUACAUGGUGAUAAAUCUUCCCCUUAUUUUAUUCGUCUCAGUUAUGAAAUUAAUUGAUUAACCAGCGGGGCUGGUUUGUCUCUGCUUUCGAUAUUUUUGUAUAUGAUUUAUCAAAGUUUGCGUGCAGCUAAGUUUUUAAAGUUGUAAUUUGGGAAAGUAUUCAAAUUGCGUAUUUGUUAAAUUAUUUUGUCAACUCACUCUAACGUUUUUAAAUUACUUUCCCCUGGGCCCUUUGGUUUUAAAUGCCUGGUUUGCAGGCUAGGUAUUUGAGGUCGAGCGUACAUGGAUUCGAGGCAUAGUCAGAGGCUGCUUCCGUUUAAUCUUUAUUCAUUAUUAUUCUUUCAUUAUUAGAUAUGCUCUGGUAACCAGUUAGUGAAUUAUUUGUCUAUUGUUGGUUGUGGGAUUAUUUUAAAUGAGUAAUUGUUAUAUUGGGAGGUGAGAUGAACAUGGGGAGCAGGAAGGCUCCAGGUGUUGAGGCUGGUAUGUUUGGUUAUAGAAGUGUAAGUUGGAUUUUUUAGGUAAGGGUUGUCUAUUUUCAAGGAAGACUAUGUCGAAUUUUUGGUAAAUUCUUCUUGAAGGUGAACCCCGCAGGAUUUACCUUGGGUUUCAGGAUGAAAUUCGGGGUGGGUCCUGACAGUUGGUAUAUACAAGACAUCCCACUUCUUAUUACCUCAAUUUGCACAAUGAACAGUGGAACUUACUCUUUUACAAUCUUCGCCCAAUCUCCACAUGGUAUACGUCUUCUCGCAGGAUCCAUGAAGUAGACAGUGUCAUUAUCCGGAUCAACAACAGUCAACUCCAGUGAUCGCUACCACAUAAAAAAAUUUCAUAUACAAUAUUUAGCAAACAAUACCCGAGUACCAUUCCCACAGUUCAACCAUAAUUACUAAAACCAUUUAUUUAUACCAAAACUUGAAAACCAGCAUGGACUUACCCCGAGUUAUAUGGCAACAUGAACACUUGACCCGGUUUGGCAAUUGCAAGCCUUUUAGCUAUAUUUUUGGUCCUCUGAGUUCCAGUCCCAUACCCUACUGCACCAAUUUGGGAAGGGUGAACAAACACUACCAUGUCCACCAUUCUAUAAGCUUCCAACUUGCUGUAUAGGUACCUAACAACCAUACCAACACAUUAUCUUUCAGCAAAGCCUACUUAUCAAGAGAAUUACAAUAAAAUCACAAGCAAAAUAUGAUAUUGCAUAAUUUAUACCUCUGGUAAGAAGCAAUCAAGUUUCCAGUGACUUUUCCCAUGGUUGCAAUAACCACAACAUCCUUUUCGGUAAUAUAGCUGCUGCAAAUAUAUCCAAAUACUUCAGGUUCAAUGUUGGAACUGAGUUCUCGACCAUCCUUGAAUACGGUACAUAGUGUCUCAUAUGAUCUAGAUAACAUAGGUGCAAGUUGUCACAUCCCGACCCUUAAAUUUUUACCUUAUUUACUACCUUGGAAUUAAUAAGAAUUUUACCGUCUCCGUCAAUGAGUUAUGGUUUAAUUGGUCCCUAGAGGGGUUUUGGGGGACGUUUAUUUCGGAGGAAUUAUUCGUAAGAGAAAAGUGUGACGACGAUAAAAAUGGUAAAUUUUAGCUAGUAAAAGGUAAUUUUUAUUGGGGUAUUAUUUCGUGGUGUUUUUUUUGGAGUUGGGUUUAUUGUUUAGUGUGGGUAUUAAAUGUUGGACCGGUUUGGGGAGGCCCAAACCAUUUCUCUUUUCUCUUUUCUCUUCCUUCUCUUCUUUCCCGACUCUCCCUCUUCCUCUCGCACUGCUGGAAACCCCCGAGCUCCCAUCGCCGUCGUCCGGCCAAGAGGAGACGCCACACCGGUCCAGCUCAAUCUGUCUCCCUCACCACCGUCUUCCUAGGCUGGUGAGCGGCGCUGCAACGCCACCGAGCGGAGGAAGUCCUCCUUGGAAGCUCGGUGGUCUUCUCGCCGAAACUCUCUCCUCCGACCGCCAUAGCCAGCGAUUCUUGGCUCGUUUGGAAGCUCUCCUCCCAUGCAUCAAUCCCUCCAAAGGCUUCCCUCCCCCUUGGUAGGUAAGGAGAUUUUGGUGUUGGAAAUACUGGGGCUCAUUUGAUGUUUUUGUUCGAUUACCCUAUCUAGGCUUGGAAUUUGUGUUUGUGCUAGUUAGGAAAGUUGUAGAGGGGGUUGAGAGGAAGAUGCUGUUAAAUUUUGGUAGACAUUGGGGUUCCCGGAGUCGGCCGCCGGCCGCCACUGUUAGGGGGAUUUUCAUGGUUUCAAAUGUAUAAUAUUAAGGGGAGUUUAAUGACGUGAAGUGUUGAAUUUUUGGAGGAGUUUUGGAUAGGUUUGGGAUUUUUGAUAGAUUGGUGAAUUUAGCGGUUAAUGGGGUAAAAUCUGACCGUUGGAUUUUCUUUAUUAUUGUUUCAGAAUGUUGAAAUAAAGGAAAUAAGGCUGUGGUUGGAUUUUAACGUGAAUCUGAUAAGCUUAACCCUAGAAAAGGUAGUGGGUUAGGCGGAAGAGUUUUGGGUUAUAUAUUGAAGUAUUAUUUAUUCUGAAAUUGAAGUGUGGUCCUAAGCAUGGUUUUUGUGCCAGGAUUUGAGGAGAACUCACUUGAGUGGUGAUUUGGAUUUCGUCAGGCUUAUGCCUAGAGUUGUGAGUGGACUUUUGUUUUAAAUAAUGUGCAUGCAAAUGGUUUAUUGAUGAAUAAUUUCUUGUGUUGGAGAAUAACCGAAAUUGACAAUUUCGGUGAUUAUAUAUUCAUAUAUGGAUGAUUAUGAGGAUAGUAUGUAUAUAAAUAAAUCCUAGCUAGCUAUACGUGCUUUUCCGCCAUAUGAGGAAAAAUUCAAUGAUGGUGUGACGUGAGCGUUGGACGCAAUCGUUAUAGCCCUAUAUAAAUUUAGUAAUUUAUAUAGGGAACACGUAUAUAUACACUCAUGCUUUUCCGCCAUAAUGAGGUAAAAUUCCAUUAUGGUGUGACGUGAGCAUUAGACGCAAGCGUAGUAGCCUUGUAUGAAUUUCUAUUUUUCUUAUUCUUCAUAAGAAAUCAUACAAGGAGUAUGACGAGUUUAAAUACAUACAUAUAUAUAUAUGUAGUUUAGGCUGAGAGGCUGUAUUUUAUUGAGUUUUGGAGACUAGCCGGAGCUAGUUAUGUAAUUGUCAAUUGAUGAGUUGAGAGCUUUUGAGUUGUCGCAUACAGUAUAUUUUCUAUGGAAAUUUAAAUUGGAAAAGCAUAAGUAUUUUUCAUUAAAUUGAUUUUUGUCCACUCACUCUAACAUUUUCAAAUGUUUUCCCCUGGGCCCUUCGCUUUUAAAAUGCCCAGUAUGCAGGUUAGGAUAGUUGAGGUCGGGCGUACAAGGAGAAGAGGCAUAGUCAAUAGUAUAGCUUCCGCUCAUUUUUAUAUUUCUAGUUCUUUUCCUCUCAAAUAGAGUUGCUUUGAACUAUGGUUGUUGAUUAUGAGAUUUUCUUUUUAAAGUUAGUAAAUAAAUUGGGAGAUGUUGUGAUUUGGGGAGCAUGAAGGCUCUAGGAGUUAGAGUUCAAUUGCGAGUUGGGAACUCCAUGUCACAUCCCGACCCGUAAAUUUUUACCUUAUUUACUAGCUUGGUUAUAAUAAGAAUUUUAUCGUCUGCGUCAUUGAGGUUAUAGUUUAAAUGGUCCCUAAAUGGUUUGGGGGACGGGUAUUUUCGGAGGAUUGUAAAUUUUAGCUAGUAAAAGGUAAUUUUUAUUAGGAUAUUAUUUUUUUGGGGUGUUUUAUUUUGGAGUUGGUGUGGGUAUAUAGGUGUUGGACCAGUUUGGAGAGGCCCAAACCCAUCUCCCUCUCUUUCUUUUCUCUUUCUCUCUCCCAGUUUUCCUCCCGAGCCAUCACCCUGCCGGAACUUCAACCCGACCAUUCGCCGCCGUCCGGCCACCACCUGCCGCCGCACCGGUCCCGUUCGGUCGGCCUCCAACCCGGCCAGCUUCUAUUCUAGGCCGGUGAGAGCCUCCCUAGCUCCGCCGUGAAGGAGUUCUCACCCCCAAAAGGUCCGGUUGUCGUGGUGGUUUUCUCGCCGGAACUUCCUCCUUCGGCCGCCAAAGUCGGCGAUCCUUGGCUCAAAAGAAAACUCCCCUCCCGUGCAGCAACCCCUCCAAAGGGCUCACUCUCUCUUAAGCUAGGUAAGGAGAAAUGUGGAUUUGAAUUUUCUAGGGCUUCUAGGAUGUUUUUGCUCGAUUGACCUAGUUAGGCUUGGAAUUGGUGUUUGUGCUAGUUAGGAAUUUUGUAGAGGGAGUUGAGACAAAGAUGCUGUCAAAAAUUGAUAGGCAUUGGAGGUCGCUGGAGUCGGCCUCCGGCCGCUGCUGUGAGGGAGAUUUUUAUGGUUUUAAAUGUGGAAUAUUUAGGGGAGUUUAUUGUUUUGAAUUAUGGAAUUUUUGGAUGAGUUUUGGAUAGGUUUGGGAAUUUCCGAAGUUUGGUAAUUUUGGCUGAUUAAUAAGGUAGAAUCCUGCCGUUUGAUUAAAGUCGUAUAAUCUGUGGAAGGGUAUAGUUAAGGCUGCUGGUUUUAGUGUUGAGGUGUGGACCGUAUCGAAGUUAGGCAAUGAUGAGCGUGAGUAUGGCUCUCGGUUAAUUUUGCCUAUUUUGUUUAAAUAUUGGAUUUUUAGUUGGGAAAUUAAUUUUACAUUUGGAAACAGAAACAGGACGUGAGGAGGCUCAAGCAGAAGAGACCUCGGAUCGACGUCAGGCUUAGGCCUAAAGUUGUGAGUGGACCUUUGUUUUAAUUUAAAAGCAUGCGAUGAAUUAUUUUGUUGAUCAUUUAUUUCUUCUGAUGAGACUUAUUGAUUUCUCGGUUAUUUGGCAAUUUUUCCUCCUUUGGAGAGUUCCCGAAAAUGAGAUUUUCGGUGGAUAUGUUUAUUGGAUGUUAUGAGUAUAGUAUUUAUAUAAAUGCUAGCUAGCCAUACGUGCUUGCUCCGUCAUAAUGAGGUAAAAUACCAUUAUGGCGUGACGUGAGUGUUAGACACAAGCGUCAUAGCCCUAUAUGAAAACUACUUUCUUUUCUGGUUUAUUUAGGUUUUCAUAUAGGGAGUCCACCUGUAUAUAUACACCGUCCUCUUUGGUCAUAAUGAGGAAAAAUUCCAUUAUGGCGCGACGUGAGCGUUAGACGCAAGCGUCGUAGCCUUGUAUGAAUUUCUAUUUUUUUCUAAUUUGUUCAUAGAAUUCAUACAAGGAGUCUGACGAGUGUAAAUACAUACACAUAUGUGUUUAUAUAUAGUUUAGCCUGAGAGGCUCCAUUUUAUUGAGUUUGGAGACUAGCCGGAGCUAGUCAUGUUUUGGCCAAUGUGUGAGUAGAAAGCUUUGAGCUGUCGCAUGCAGCAUAAUUUCUAUGGAAAUUAAAUCGAGAAAGCAUAAAGAUUUAUUUCUUUUCAAAUUUAUUGUUGUCCACUCACUCUAACGUUUUCAAAUGUUUUCCCCUGGGCCUUUCGUUUUAAAAAUGCCCAGCUUGCAGGUUAGCUUAGUUGAGGUCGGGCGUACAUACAGAUGAGGCAUAAUGAUCAUAUAGCUUCCGCUUGUUAAUUUAUUAUGUUUCAUUUCUUCUUAUUAGAGUUGCUCUAAACCUAUAAAGGGUUGGAUAUGACAUUUGUUUAGAUUAGUAAUUAAUUUGGGUGGUGUUGUGAUUUGGGGAGCACGAAGGCUCCAGGAGUUUAAGGUUGGAUUUAAAUUUUCAGAAGUGUUUGCAGGUUUUAUUAGGAAGGGUUGUCCAUUUUCAAGGGAGGUUAUGUCGAAUUUUCGGUAAACUUUCUUUGGAGGUGGUGGUGGUCCCCGCAGAAUUUACUUCGGGUUUCGGGGUGAAAUUCGGGGUGGGUCCUGACACUCUAGUUGGGAACUCAUAUGUGUGGCAGCAUUCCUUUCAUUUGACCAAUGAUUGAUUGGGUUAUGAUUAAGAUGCUAGGGUGAGCAUCUCGUGCAAAUUUGUAGAAGGUGAAAAGUUUAAUUCAAGCCUUGGAUUUCACUAAUUAUAGUGGGCAAGUGUGAAGUUGUUGUAGUUCGAUAGAAAAUCUUGGCUUCGAGUUACGUGAUUUCUGAGAGAAAAUAUAGUUGGAAAGAAAAUUCGAAGUAGUGGUGUAUUCUUUUUAUGUUAAAGUUAAUUGAAGUGUUAUGGUGGGGUACCUAUAGUAACUCUUAGAGGUACAUUUAUGAGUUGUUGCGGACGCUAAGCUUGAGCGAUUUAGUCACGUGGGAAUUGUGGCUAGUGUUUGAGUUGCAAGGCAUUGCUACAUAAAAAGCUAAAUGUCAAUUUAGAUAAGUCAUGAUUGAAAGCCAAUUUACCGACUAUUUUUAUCAGCAACAGCAAGCAGUUGGGAACAUUUUGGGAUAAUGCUGGUUAUGUCAGCACAUAUUAUGGUUCCUACAACUCUAAUUAUGGAUAAGUUUUUAUCUUUUGAGCAAUUUAUUAAGAUGGUGGUGGUAAAUAUCUCUUGGAAAUGACGGAUAAUAGUAGUCGAUGAAUAGUAAGAUUUCUGAUGAUUUUGGUCUCUAUUGUGGGUUAAUUGAAGUUUGUUAAAGCACUAAGUGUAAUGACUUGGAUUGCUUUUCCUUGGGUUGGCUUUACAUAAGUCAUUGGUCAGUGUGUUGUGACAACUUGUUGUUGUGCCACAGUUGGGAAAUUUUAGAAAUUAAAAUGUAGCGCUAAAUGUUUUGAGUUUCAAGCACGUUUGGAAUAGUGGAGUGAGAUGUCAGUCAUAUUAUUUUAAUCGUGGGGCCAUUUUGGAUUCUUUCGGAAUUCUAGGUGUUGAAGUUUGGUUUCUAGUUUUGUUGAGGGUUUUGGGAAGAUGAUAAAUUUAGAUGGAAUUGAAAAGUAAUAGUGGAGUGAGAGCGGGAUGGUUGUGGUCACUCCAAUUUUACGACAACACCUGGUGAAUUUAUUAUGUGUUAUCAUGGGUAUUCUAUAGCAGUUGUGUGGAGUUGGUGGAAGUGGUAGCAGUGGAAUAAUACCCACUGGAUCAUGGAGCAAGAGUGCGUGGGUGUCCAAAGUAAUUUUUUUAAGCAGUGUCGUUCCAUGUGGUUGAUAUAAGUCUUAAAUUUGUGAUCGAAGUUGGUUUAUUGACAUCACUUUGUUAGCUUUUGGUGACUAUCUACGACACAUCAAUGGGAGGAUCUGUUCACUCACCUUAUAUCUAAUUCGGUGAUGUGGAGCAGAGUUUUGGUUGUUGUGUGUGUGGGAAUAUAUAAAUUAUUCUUGCUGUAGUUUUUGGGUAGCAUCCUCAGAGCUUGAAUUUAGGAAGUGCGAAUUCAAACUCUUUGAUUUGAAGGUUAGAGAUUCUGGUUAGUUUGUCGAAUUUUUUUUAGGCAAAUGAUAAAUUGGUUGUUGUGUCAUAGACAUGGAUCAUGGGUAAAUCCAGUCGUGAUCCCAAGUGAGCUGGGGUUCGAUUAAGCGAAGAACCAUGGAGCCGUAAGUUCUAUGUGGUAAUCUGGAAGUUGCGUUGAUGUGCUGAAUUUAUGGUUUGUGUGAUAUUGUGGGUGUGAUUUAUGUUGUACCUUUAGGGGAGAAGGUUUUCCCCUGUUGACUCAAGAAGCUUUUCGAGUCAAAGUUUAUUAAGAGAUUUAAUAUGACGAAUAGUAGAUAUAUGGAUAGGUUGAACGACGUCUCUUCUCGGGAUCGUAUUGUGGUGGGACCACUUAUUGAUUCAAGUUUGAUUUGGGAGGUCUUGGCUAUUUGGUUGUGUGUUCAUCCGUUGGUGUCAGAGGGAUUAGUUGAAACCACUAUUAAAUGUUGGUUUCUAGUGCGUUUUCGAAAUGAGUUCUAGUGGACGUCGGUGAUUUGAGGAGCUUUUGAGCUCGAAGUUGUGGGACUUGUCUUUCAUGAAUUUUAAGUUAUUUAUUCUGUUGCUUGCGCUGAGAUUAGCCAUGAGCCUUGAUUCUUACUUGAACUUAUAGUUUUCGUUGGAUGGUGAACCACAAAGUGUAGUAGUGGGCCUAUUACGGAAAUUAAUUUUUAUAUUCGAUGGUUAACUUGUUGCUGCAAACUCGGUUAUCAGAGAAACUUUUUGGUGGGGAGCCGUGGCGCCUAGAAGGUGUAGGAGACUUGAGCAUAUCUGAUUUUCAGAUCGUAUUCUGCUAUCAGAUUAAUUGUUAUUAGAGGUAGAAAAAGAUGUGUGUUUGUCGGGUCCAAAGGUUUUGGCAUUUAGAAUCAUUCAUGUGGAACGGCUAGAGUGAGCCGUGUGCUUUUAAUUGUUGCACUUGGGGUCGCGGUUGCACCCGAAUAAGUAGCAUGGCUGGAGAUGUAUGUGGAUUUCAACGUCAAGUUUAGCAUUAUGAAUUGACUGUGCCAAUUUUCGUGGGCAUUAUUAGUCAGUUUUUGCUUAUGGCGAGCAAGGAGGAAUAUCCAAUUUCCACAUGAUAGUCAUGUUUCAAAUUAUCUUCUGGUUUAAGGUAAAGAGAUUAGUGGAGAUAGCAGAAUGAGGAGAGAGUUGGAAUUCCCAUAAGCUGCUAGUUUGUGGUGCUCAAAAUGGUAAUGUAAUAGUUUUGGUGGAGAGACCUAAGUGACGUAGUAUUAAUCUCUACAUAAUGUCAUUUCGAGAAUCGAGGUUAUCAUAUGUUGGUGGACUGGUCACUUAGGCAGAGCAAGGUUGUCUUGUAGACUUGCGAGCGCUUUGACUCCGCGAAAGACUCUACGAAGUGUCUCGGUAUUAGAAGUGAUUGUUGCAGUUCUGCAGUGUGUGCAUCCUUAAAUAUGUUCAAUUAGCAGGUCUUAAUUUUGACCCCUAUGAGCAAGUGGGAAUGCGUGAACUUUAGUUUCCUAGCAAGUGGGCUUCAUUGUCGAGUUGUGAGCAGUGUAAUGACGAGGUUGUUGCAUGACGUUAGGAGAUUUGAGCCCGAUGGUGAUAGCAAAUUUAUGUGUUUUAUUCGGGUUAACUAUUUCCAUUGCUCAGGAAAGGUGUGCAUACCUACGGGUACUCGUACUCUAAAACAUGUAUCACUGAACUCACUUACGUGUAAACGUUAGUGGUAGUUCAACGAAGGAUUUAGAGUCUUUGAGAAGAUUUAAAAUAAUUCAAGAUACAAAUGAAAAGGUUAAAGGAGUCAGAGAUAGACUCAAAGUAGCUCAAAGUAGCCAAAAGAGUAAUAAAGAUGUCCGCAGGAAGGACCAUGAGUUUCAAGUGAGUGUUUGGGUGUUUUCGAAAUUAUCUCUGUCACACCCCGUUUCUUAAGUUAUUUUACUGUUAUUUACUUUGGUAUUAUUUUAGUCUUUUACCGUGUUAAGUAACCGUUUAUCACUUAAGGACCCUAGAGUUGACUUUUUCUUGCGUUUGGAAUUUGGGAAAACUUUCUUCAUGAAAAUCGUAGAGGACGUUAUUACGAGUUCGUAGACAUGCUAUGUGUUAAAAUCGGAGUUAGCAUGAAAAAGUUAAGAUUUAAAAGAGUAAUUUUUGAGAUGGUAAAAAAAUUUAGUGGGUGUAAUUUUCAGUUGGGUUUUAUUCCUGGGCCAGCUGUGGAGCAGCCCAAGACCCACACCCCCCCCCCCCCUCAUUUUCUCUCUUCUCCUCUUCCUUCUCUCUCUUUCUCCCGUGAGUCUCCCCGAGCCUUCUUUUCUGCUGGAUUUUCCCAGCGUGGCCGGCCACCGUCUGGCCAGCCACCAGCUGUCAGCCCACCCCAGUUUUGACCCCCAUCACCUCCUCUCUCUCCCCGGCCUAGCCCCCGAGCCGUUAGCCCGCCAGAAGAGGAGAAAACUCGCCGGAGAUGCCGGGAAGCUUUUUGCCGGAAAUCCCACCUCCGGCCACCAUAGGUCGGAAUCUUUGGCUCAUCUUGUAGCCCUCAUCAAGGUGAGUAUUCUCUCAGAAGGAAUUAGUCUAUUCCGUUGUUGUUACGGAGAAAUGUAUAAUUGAAGUUUUUAGGGAUUUAUGGAAGUUUUGAUAUGUUUGCCCUAGUUAGCCUUAGAAAUGGACUAAGUGCUAGUUAUGAAUGUUGUUGAGCAUGAUGAGAGGAAUAUUCUGUGAAAAUUUGAGAAGCAUUGUCUCUCGCCGGAAUCGCCGGAAUCCGGCUGCCGGCCGCCGCCCCUUAGGGGCAGUUGUUCAUGAUUUUGGGUUUGUUUUAAUGAUAGGAGUUUAAUGAAGUAUAGUUGGGAAUAUUUGGAGGAGAUUUGGUAAGGUUUGGGAUUUAUCAAUGAUAAAGGAUUUAGGCGGUUAUUCGAAUGGAAAUCCGGCAGUUGGUUUAGCAGGUUUUAAAGUCUAAAAAGGUUAAAUUAUGGCUUUCGAUAAGUGCAGAGUAAUGUGAGCCUUAUUAGGUAAAAUGUGGAGAAGUUGGGCAAGAGAAAUGAAAUUAUAGGCUUCCUUUUUAUUUCGGAAAUUUUAUUAAAGUUUUGUCCUGGUUUAGAGGCUUAAUGAUUAUUUAUUGUUCAGGACAUGAGGAGGAAGCCUCGGGCCGUCGGCAAGCAUAGCCAAGCAUUGUGAGUGGACCUUUGAUUUUAAUAUCAUGCAUGCACUAAAGUUAUUUAAUUUCACAGGCAUUUGGAGAUAUAAUAUUUUGUUGGAUUAUCGAGUUCCACUUAUUUUUCCGGAACUCUCUUGCUAAUUUUAGUUGACACGUGGGACGUGUCAAGUGUUUUAUAUUAUUUCCAUGUACAGUUGGGAACUGUACUGUGCGCUAUGAGUUUAUUAUAAUUUAUUUGGGGAAGUGUGGAUCAUUUUAUUUUAAUAUUGUACUUCACCAUAAAAGGGUUGAUAUAUAGAUUAUUGCUAGCUAACCAUUAUUUAGCGGUCCUCAUCAUAUGAAAGUUGAGCGCUUAGCGUGGGACGCUAUUAUAACUUUAUAAGCGGUCCUCAUCAUAUGUGAGUAGACCGCUUAGCGUGGGACGCUAUUAUAGCCUGGGAGGCUUAUUGUUAUGGUGAAACCUCUUCCCUGUUCUUAUUGAUUUAUUGGGAACCAAUGGGAUUGGUUCAUUAGUUUUGUCUAUAAUUAUUUUCGGAAAAAUUUCUAAGAAUGGCAUGCAUAAAUAUUUUCUCAACGGAAAAUAUGGGAAAAGCAUUAAAUUGAUUUCAAUGCUCUAUCAUUAAGUCAGUAUUUUUAUUAUUUAUUUUGUCCACUCACUCUAAUGUUUUAAAUGCUUUCCCCUGAGCCUUUCGUUUUAAAUGCCCAGUCUGCAGAGUUCUGUUCAGCGAGGGUAAGAGGCGAGUCAUAUUUCCCACCUCAUCCAGUUUUCUCUCAUAGGUUACUAGUUAACCUACCUAUGUAUUUCUUUCUUUCCUAGUAGAUGCUCUGAAUAACCAUAGGAUGUUUUAAGUGAUAUUAAGAUUGUUUUCAUUGUGGUUGUGUGCUAAGAGCUUAUGACUCCUCUAAUGAGUGAUGAAAAAGACAUAUUUGGUAUGUUUGUAUGAGAGAUUAAAUUCAUGAAAUUAUUUCGAUUUAUUAUGUUAGUUGAGGUGGUGGAUGUUUAUUUGAGGGAGCGGAUGGCUCCAGAAGAUGUGGAUUAAAUUGUUUUAGAAGUGUUUGGGCUUUGGUGAUUUUUUUCCAGGUAGGGUUACUCAUUUUCAAGGGAGGUUAUGCCAAAAUUUUGGUAGAAUUUCUCUUGAGGUGGGUCCCGCAGAGUUUAUUCCGGAUUUCAAGGGGAAAUCCGGUGUAGGUCCUGACAAUCUCCUUAGAAAGGGGUAGUACGUUUUGGUAACGUGGAAAGCUUGGUUCGAGAUAUAUUGGUCCGAAUGUAUUGGUCCUUAUGAGAUUAUAAAGCGAGUCGGUUCACUUGUUUAUCGGUUAGUUUUGCCUCCUGAAUUAUCCAGGAUACAUAAUGUGUUUCAUGUAUCCAUGUUUCGCGAGUAUAUUGCCGAUCCCUCUCAAGUGUUGCAAGAGCAGCCGAUUAAUUUGAAGAAAAAUUUGACCUUUGAUGAGGAGCUGGUUCAAAUUCUUGACCAAAAGAAGCAAGUGCUUAGAAGCAAAUCAUUUUCCUCUUGUUAAAGUUCUGUGGAGGAGUCAUCAAGUAGAGGAAGCUAUUUGGGAAUCAGAGGAGCAAAUGAGGUAGCAGUAUCCUUAUUUCUUUGAUUGUCAGGUAUGUAAAUUUCAAGGAUGAAAUUUUUAUAAGGAAGGGAGAAUUGUCAUAUCCCGACAUUUAAAUUUUUAGCUUAUUUACUAGCUUGGUAUUAAUAAGAAUUUUACCGUCUCCGUCAAUGAGUUAUGGUUUAAUUGGUCCCUAUACCUAGAGGGGUUUUGGUGAAUUUUGCCGUUAAUGGGCUAGAAUCCGACCGUUGAAUUUUCUUUAUUAUUGUUUUAGAAUGUUGAAAUAAAGGAAAUAAGGCUGUGGUUGGAUUUUGGCGUGAAUCCGAUAAGCUUAACCCUAGAAAGGGUAGUGGGUUAGGCGGAAAAGUUUUGGGUUAUAUAUUUAAGUAUUAUUUAUUCUGAAAUUGAAGUGUGGUCCUAAGCAUAGUUUUUGUGCCAUAAUUUGAGGAGAACUCACUUGAGUGGCGAUUUGGAUUUCGCCGGGCUUAUGCCUAGAGUUGUGAGUGGACUUUUGUUUUAAAUAAUGUGCAUGCAAAUGGUUUAUUGAUGAAUAAUUUCUUGUGUUGGAGAACAACCGAAAUUGAGAAUUUCGGUGAUUAUAUAUUCAUAUAUGGAUGAUGAUGAGGAUAGUAUGUAUAUAAAUAAAUGCUAGCUAGAUAUACGUGCUUUUCCGUCAUAAUGAGGUAAAAUUCCAUUAUGGUGUGACGUGAGCGUUGGACGCAAUCGUCGUAGCCCUAUAUAAAUUUAGUAAUUUAUAUAGGGAAUAUGCACGUAUAUAUACACUCGUGUUUUUCCGCCAUAAUGAGGUAAAAUUCCAUUAUGGUGUGACGUGAGAGUUAGACGCAAGCGUAGUAGCUUUGUAUGAAUUUCUAUUUUUCUUAUUCUUCAAAAAAAAUCAUACAAAGAGUAUGACGAGUGUAAAUAUAUACAUAUAUAUAUAGUUUAGCCUGAGAGGCUGUAUUUUAUUGAGUUUUGGAGACUAGCCGGAGCUAGUUAUGUAAUUGUCAAUUGAUGAGUUGAGAGCUUUUAAAAGCUGUCGCAUGCAGCAUAUUUUCUAUGGAAAUUUAAAUUGGGAAAGCAUAAAUAUUUUUCAUUAAAUUCAUUUUUGUCCACUCACUCUAACAUUUUCAAAUGUUUUCCCCUGAGCGUUUCGUGUUUAAAAUGCCCAGUAUGCUGGUUAGCAUAGUUGAGGUCGGGCGUACAUGGAGAAGAGGCAUAGUCAAUAGUAUAGCUUCUGCUCAUUUUUAUAUUUCUAGUUCCUUUCCUCUCAAAUAGAGUUGCUCUGAACUAUGAUUGUUGGUUAUAAGAUUUUCUUUUUAAAGUUAGUAAAUAAAUUGGGAGAUGUUGUGAUUUGGGGAGCACGAAGGCUCUAGGUGUUUAAGGUUGGAUUUGGAUUUUCAGAAGUGUAUGCUGGUAUUAUUAGGAAGGGUUGUCUAUUUUCAAGGGAGAUUAUGCCGACUUUUUGGUAAAUUUUUCCUUGGAGGUGGUCCCCGCAGGAUUUACUUCGGGUUUCAGGGUGAAAUUCGGGGUGGGUCAUGACAGUUGGUGUCAGAGUAUUAGGUUAUUUGAUUCCUUUCUCUUUUUAGUACUACCUUAUAUUUUUGGUCAUACUUAGUGUCUAUAGAGUGAUGGUCCGACCGUGGCGGAUCCAUUAGCAUAUUAUGCUUUAGACACUAUGUGUUGAUUAGGUUUGUAAUGUAGUUAUUCUUGUCUUAUUUAUGGACAAUAUUGUGCCAUAAAUGUCCAUAUCUCUAAGACUAUGCCUCCGUACACCGACCUCUUAAGUAAAUCAUUAUGCUUUGAGUAUUGAAAAGGUGUAUGGAUUAUGCCUUUUCCCAAGGGUUAUUGAGUUGAUAUCAUAAAUUGUUAUAUUUCUUGUUCCUUUCCUCUCAAAUAGAGUUGCUUAGAACUGUGGUUGUUGGUUAUGAGAUUUUCUUUUUAAAGUUUGUACAUAAAUUGGGAGAUGUUGUGAUUUGGGGAGCACGAAGGCUCCAGGAGUUUAAGGUUGGAUUUGGAUUUUUAAAAGUGUAUGCAGGUAUUAUUAGGAAGGGUUGUCCAUUUUCAAGGGUGAUUAUGCCGAAUUUUUGGUAAAUUUUUCCUUUGAGGUGGUCCCUGCAGGAUUUAUUUUGGGUUUCAGGGUGAAAUUCGGGGUGGGUCUUGACACAAGUUCUGCCAAGGUCACAUCAGCCUCCUCCAUUUGGACAGCUAGUUCUAGACAUUUUCUCUUCUUCUUAGAGACUUUAUCCACCACAGAUUUCUAGAAUAAGAAGAUAUAAAUAAUGUAUGAUUACUACAAUCAAGGAAAUACGAAUAUUUAUUAAACAAGUCAGAGGUUCAAAGUAUAAACACUUGUACUAAACUUUUACCUCAUUUGGCAAUAUGAUCAAGUCCUUCGGCCAGGCUACCCAACUCCUCAUUGCAUGCUUAACAGUAACAAUUUCAUCUUCAACAGGAAAAGGGACCUUCGCUUUUUCAUCAAUCGCAUAGUACACAGAAAUACGCCUAUUGUCAUUCCCUAAUGGUCUUCCAUGAAUGACUGCCUUAAGAUCAUCACCUGAUUCUAUUAUUGUGGCAUGAGCAACAAUGUUAUCCACUGAACCCACAGCCAACUUGCAAUCAAUCUCAGGGUCUCCAACCCUAUAAGUCUACUUCUUUUUCUCAAGGACAUUAACAGACUUAGAAGCCUUGUUUUUCUUAGGGUAUUCAACUGACUCAGAAUUCUUCUCUUCCUCAAGGGCAUCAACUGAUUCCAAUUUCUUCUUCUUGCGUCCUUGCAAUCUUAUUCAAAACACCCUUAUUAACUGCUUCCUUUACAGGCUUUGCUUGUUCCUUUUCCUCUUGGGGAGGCACUACUUGUUCCUUUUCCUUUGGGGGCAGAGGGAGUUCAUUUUCUUUUUCUUGAAAUAACGAUUUUUGGCGUGUAUUUUCAGCUUCCAGGUUUGGUACCGAAACACCCUCCUCCAUUGUGUGUGAACUUCCUUGACCAAAAAGAAGUGUACUAUGCUUAAUGCCAGCCCUAAAAUGUCCUGCUAGCAAGUUUGCUGUGAACUCUUCAAACUUUGCCUCCUAACGCUUUGCCUCUUCUGCCUCAAUUUCUUCCCUUAUUUCCUCCCUUAGUUGCUCCUUUGCUUCCUUCAAUAUCACUGGUUUUGCUUCCUCUAUUAUCUUUUUACUGUCCUCAUGCAUUAUCUUUCUCAUCCUUGCUUCAAAGUUCUGCUUCCUAAGAUUUGGCAGUCCAAAGUACUCAUGCGGAGUAAUAUGACCUCCCACUCCACGCACUUGACCACUGUGCUCAGGGGUCUCCAACGCCUAAGUCAGAAUAUCAUUCAUACCCGCAACGGUCCUUUUUCCUUCAUCAACCUCUUUUCUAACUUCAGCCUGACAACAAGAGUUACCAAUGUAAGCAAUAGAAUAACAUUUAAAAGCUGCACACAUACAAUUCAAACGACUAAGAACUUACCACUCUUUCAACAACCUUUUUUGUCUCUUCAUCUGGUAUUUCCCCCUCCUUUGGAAUACGCCCUCGGACCCAAGUUAUAUCUCUAUCAAUUUCUCCUUCACUUGGAACCAAGCCUACACUUUCUUCACCUAGUUCCUCAAUCUACAAAAAUGGAUUUUUGAAUUAGAACACUAUCACAAGCACAAAACAAAACACAUCUUGACUAUCUAAUGUUAAUUUACUAACCACUUCUUCUUCCACUCCUAUAUAACCCUUACAGGACAUUCUAUGUGGAUACUUGUUCUUCUUACGCCUUUUUUGUUGUUGUUCACAUUUUGCCUGCAAAAUCCACCACUCACUUAAAAAAAUCCAUGAUAUGGCAAAUCAGAUCUACUACUAAGUUGAAACAAAUUAUGGUAUUAAAAAUAGCUUUCAUACCAAGAAUUCAGGCGUUGUCCGUGACUUGACAAAUAUAGUCCAAUGAUCAGGCGGUAUGAAAGGAUAAUCAUUAGGAGGAAACUUCAGCUUUUCAGGGGAAUCAAGGUAGGGGAUGAUGUAUUUUGAAGUAAGGCGAGACUUGAACUCCCUCCACUUAGUUGAUGCAGAUUGCAUAAUCCUCUUCCUAUGUUCUUCAUCGAUUAUGAAUGGAAGCUGUGUAGUUAAAAUACAAAUGAGUAUGAAACUCUGAUCCACUAAACAGAAUUGGAAGUAAUUCAGUUCAAAAGUUAACAGAAAAAUAAACCACUCAGUACCUGAAGACGUUUCCAUAUUUUAGCUCUGGCAUCCUUUGUUACCCCUUUCCAGGUUUUUAUUAUAAUUGGCACUUUCCUUCGUGCCAAUACUCCCAAGUACGACUACAUUUUCUUAGCCACCUUCCCAUAGGGAGUGCCUCUUUUGUUGAACAACACCAUCCUUUUCAUUUUUCUCUUAUGCUUAGUAAUGCUUGACAUAGUCACUGCAUGCCUUUUCAACAGCUCAAGACCCCCGGUUGGUUCAGCUUCUUUCUUCUUGGACUUGCCCGUCCUCGAGCAACUUGCAUCUGAAGUUCUUGUUGAUGUAGAAGACUUCAAGGACUUUGUCUUCUUGACCUUGAGUCGCUUCUCUUUACUCUUUGACUUGCCUGCUUCGUUUGCAGAUUUCAAAGAUGUCAUAUCUGCACAAAGACAAGUCACAUAGACAAUAAGCACUUAUGCAAUUAAUAUGAAAGUGGAAUCAAGCACUGAUCAUAAGUAACUCAUUACACACUUUAUUAGAAUUAGAAAAAUAAAUCUCCAUAAAAAAAAUAAAUUAACCUCAGUCAAAUAAAUCACUAAGAAAAUACUCAAAACAGAUGAGCAUUAAUCAAAAUAACCAACCAUCAUAUAUCACUAUCAUCCAAAAGAUAACAAUUUAAGUUACUCAUUACAUAAUCAAAACAGUAAGACUCAACACCCUGGAAAUAUCCUCUUCAUUCUCCAUCACUAAUAUAUAUACUUUCCUCCCCUGCACGCAUGUAACACAAAAAUCCUCAUCAGCUAAGUUCUCUACUAACUGUAUAGUGGGCAUUGUAGUCGACAAAGUAGGGUGCUGAAUAGUAGUGUCGCCAAGCUCAUCAAAAGACUCACAAUCAUUGUAAUCAUUCUUGGGGAGUCUCAAUACAACGGACCACAUACAAUCUACAGGGUCUUUCACGUAAAAUAUCUGCUCUACACAUCUUCCCAAAACAAAAGUGUCUUGCAAAUGACCUUUCCUAUUUAAGUUCACCAAAGUGAAACCAAGAUCAUCUACUUUAACACCCUUAUGACUCUCAACCCAGUCACACUUAAAUAAAGGAAACCUGAAAAAAGCAUAAUCAAGCUCCCAUAUUUUGGUAAUAACCCUAUAGAAGGUCAUGUCCUGAGUAACCAUGUUUUUAUCCUUAGAACUAGCUACUUGAGGUGUCUCUGCCACCAAGUAAACCCCACUACUUUGUGUCUUACGAAGAUCAUCUGGUGAGUUUGUGUUAAAUUGCACACCCCCUACUCUAUAAUCCUAAAACUUCGAUACUUCAUUCCUUGGUUUAUCUGCCAGCCACUUCACAAUCUCAGGGAUGUCACAAUCGGGUUCACUAAGCUGAGUAUCAACCUGCAAAUGUAGACAGAAGUUUAUAACUGUCACAUCCCGACCCUUAUAUUUUUACCUUAUUUACUAGCGUGAUUAUAAUAAGAAUUUACCGUCUCGAUCAUUGAGUUAAUAGUUUAAUUGGUCCCUAGAGGGGUUUCGGGGACGAUUAUGUACAGAGGAUUAUUCGUAUAAGGAAAAUACGACGACGGUAAAAAUAGUAAAUUUUAGCUAGUAAAAGGUAAUUUUUAUACGGGUAUUAUUUUUCAGGGUGUUUUAUUUUUGUGGGAGUUAGGUAUAAUGGGGAGUUGGACCGGUUGGAGAGGCCCAACCUUUUUCCCUCUCUUCUCUCCCGUUUUUCCCUUUCCCCUUGAGUCUUCUUCCCUGCCGAAUCGUCCAGCCGACAUCUGCCGCCGUCCGACCAGCCACCGGCCGCCACUCCACCCCAGUUCGGACCCCCAUCUCCUCCUCUCCCUCCCCGGCCUAACCCCCGAGCCGUUAGCCUGCCGAAAGAAGAGAAAACUCGCCGAAGACGCCGGGAAGCUUUUCGCCGGAACUCCCUCCUCCAGCCACCAAUCCGGGCAAGCUUGGUACGGUUUUGUAGCCCUCCAACCCAGCAGCCUUGCCCUAAAAGGACUCACCCUCUCUUGAGCUAGGUAAGGAGAAAUGUGGAGUUGAAAUUUCUAGGGCUUUUAGGAUGUUUUUAGUCGAUUACCCUAGUUAGGCUUGGAAUUGGUGUUUGUGUUAGUUAUGAAAGUUGUAGAGCAUGAUGAGAGGAAGAUGCUGUCAAAAUUUCAUAGGUUUUAGAGGUCGCUGGAAUCGGCCUCCGGCCGCCGCUGCCGGCGGAGCCGCCGCGGUUUGGGAGAUUUUUAGGGUUUUAAAUGUGGAAUAUUAAGGGGAUUAUAUUGAUGUGAUUUAUGGAAUUUUUGGAUGAGAUUUGGAUAGGUUUGUGAAUUUCCGAAGUUUGGUAUUUUUGGCGGUUAAUUAAUGUAGAAUCCGACCGUAGGAUUUAAGUCGUAUUUUGGGGAGGUUGUAUUUACGACUGUCGAGUAUGAUAUCUCAGUUCGGAUCGUUUCGAUUUAAGAAUAUCGAAGUUAGGCAAUGAUGAGCGUAUUUAUGGCUCUCGGGUAAUUUUGCCUAUUUUGAUUAAAUAUUGGAUUGUUAGUUGGGAAAUUAAUAUUAUAUUUGAAACAUGACGUGAGGAGGCUCGAGCAGACGAAACCCCAGAUCGACGUCAGGCUUAGGCCUAAUUUGUGAGUGGACUUUUGUUUUAAAUAAAAUGCAUGCUAGAGUUCAUGGUUGAACAAUAUUUGUUGCGGAAUAUUUUGACGUCAUUUUAAUUUGACAAAUUUUAUUUCUCUUGGAGAGUUACCGAAAAUGGGAUUUUCGGUGGAUAUAAAUAUGUAUUUAUGAGAGAGUAUGUAUAUAAAAUGCUAGCUAGCCAUAUGUGUCUGUCCACCUUAAUGGCGUAGCAUAUAGCCGCAUUAUGGUGUGACGUGAGCGUUGGACGUGAGCGUAGUAGCCCUAUUUGAGUGUUUAAUUCAUAUGGGGGGUAUGGACACAUAUUUAUACACCCGUCUGUCCACCUUAAUGGCGUAGUGUAGCACCGCAUUAAGGCGUGACGUGAGCGUUGGACGCGAGCGUAGUAUCCUUAUCUAGACCCAUGAAUUUAUAUAGGGAGUAUGGACGAGUGUAGAUACAUACAUAUACUAUAGAGUCUGAGAGGCUCGAUAUUUUAUGAGAUAAAAGUUUUAUCGCUUGCGGCAUGCAUUCGAUUUUCUCCUUAGAAAUUAAUUUAGGGAAACAUAAAUAUUUUAUUUAUUAUUUUAAUUUUUUGUCCACUCACUCUAACGUUAUUAAAUGUUUUCCCCUGGGCCCUUCGUUUUAAAUUGCCCAGUCUGUAGAGUUCGGAUUGGAUCUAGUAGGAGGCGAGGCAUAGUCACCCGCAUUUCCGCCAGUUUUCAUCAGUAGGUUACAUGUUUAACCUACUCAUGUUUUCUUGCUUCCGCUAGUGUCUAAUAGCUCUGAAUACUUUGGGAUUAUUGUAUAUUAUGUUUAGAAUUUCUGAAGGAUAAUUAUGUGAUGUUUGGACGUGUUGUUUUAAGAGUGUAAUUUGGAAUUUUCGAGUUAGGGUUGUCCAUUUUCAAGGGAGAUUUUAGAAAUCUUCUCAGAAAAUUUUCCUUGGAGGUGGUCCCCGCACGACUUACUCCGGGUUUCAGGGUGAAAUUCGGGGUGGGUCGUGUCAUCUCGUCCUUUCUGGUCUGCAUAACAUCUGCAUUAACAUGCAUCUCGGUUUCGAAUUGCAGAGUGGUGUGAAAUUCAAUCUGGUUUUGAGGUACUACUUCCUCAACAUGAAUCGAUUCCUCUGCCCCUUCCCUGAUUUCGGGUCUCGAUGACCCGACCACAACUUCUUUUGCAAUCUGGCCAAUCACUGCAGAUUCAUUCACCGAAUUCGCUGCCAAAGGUUUGUUGGAUGCCCCCUUUUUGGAGGGUCUUCCUCGUUUAGGGUUUGCUUCAUUGGCCUUCGAUUUCGAUCCUUCAAUAACUCUGGUCCGACAGUCGGAGAUUGUGUUUUCGUUGCUGCUGCUUGGAAAACGACCCUGGAGCCUACUACUCCUUCUCGUACCUCCCUCGUCUACCCCUAAAUUUUGGCUCUGAUCAACCCCUUAAGUCGGAGGGUUAGUCUUCUUUUUAGGAGGCAUGGUUAAGGAUUCAGAAGGGGAAUCGAGCGUUUCGAAUUGAGGGUUUAGAAUUGACGGGUUCGGAUGUGGAUGCAAGACAAGAAAGAGAGAGAGAGUGUCUGAGUUUGAGAUUGGGAUUGAGAUUCUUGAGAUUUUAGGGGUAAGGUUGCUUCUGGGUUAGAGAGGGAGAGGGUCUGAGUUUGAAACUGGGAGUUGGAAGCUGAGGGAGAGAAUUAUUGAGAUCAGUUAAGUUGGGUUAGAGUCCUUAAAAUUUAAAAUUUAAGUUAGCUAACGGGGUUAGCAAGAGUUAGUUAACGAGGUUAUUGUGGUUAGUUAACGGGGCUAAUGGGGUUAGUUAACAGGGUUAGUCUAUCAUCUAACAGAGUCAUUGCCACCUAGGCGCCAACUAGGCGAGGUAUGCAUUCCUUAAGGCGUGUAAGGGAUCCCAUAUAUAUACUCCUCUUUUUCUUUUUCUUUUUCUUUUUUUGAAUAAAUUGAGUAGCAGAUCUAGAAAAGUAUGUGUAUUUAGUGAAUAAGUGAUGUGUUUUAAAUAUGGGUAUUGUAGGAAAGAUGGGUAUGUGUAUCUAGUAAAUAUAUUAUUUUUUUUUGAAUAAAUUGAGUUGCAGAUCUAGAAAAGUAUGUGUAUUUAGUGAAUAGGUGAUGUGUUUUAAAUGUGGGUAUUGUAGGAAGGAUGGGUAUGUGUGUAUCUAGUAAAAUGUUAAAACAAUAAAGUCAAUAGGUAUGGAUGAGAUGUGUAUCUACUAAUUAUGGAUGUGUUAAUAAAUUUUCUCUAAAGUAUGACCUCUUUCAUUCAAACAAAAAAAAAACUAAUUCUUGUCAUUUUAAAAGUCUAUAUCAUGAAAUCUAAAUAAUUAAAUUCUCAAUCAAUGAAAUUUAAAUUUAUGGAAUUAUAAUUCUCAUGACUUUAAAAUUUCCAUGAAAAUUGCAAUUACUUAAUCCAAACACAACGUAGUUGAAAUAGAGAGUAUUGAUGUAGAAAAUUUUUUAAAGUGACUAGCCAAAAUAACUUUUUAGCUAUUUUAGCUAUAAUUUGACUACAAAAUGGCUAACAUUGAUAGAGAUGGGAGAAAAUCUUCUGACCCUAAUCUCCUUGUCUCCUUCUCUGUCUCCCAUUCAAAUUUUGACAUCUGUCAUUUCAAUCCAACUCAUCUAACACUGAAUUAACUCUGUUAAUCUCUUGUAAAAUGAAAUAACAGUCAUUUAUCUAUCUUCAAGUACGGCUCAAUCUCGAGGGUUUUUCAAUGCAAGGUUUUGCUCUUUUAGUUGGGAUUUGAUGUACGUGGUCAACGUUAGAUUUUUCUUCUUCUUUUGGAUUCAAUUGGUUGUGGUUUGAUUCAAUUUGUCUUCCUUUUUCAAAAUGAAUUUUCUUAUUUGAAUUUCAUCCAUGUGGGUCAUUUUGAUCUGAUUAUGAUUGGGUUCAUGAGUAAGAUUAAUUUGAUCGUAUUGUGAUUGGAUUCAUGAGUACAUAAGAUUUUGAUCUGGGGUCAUUAAGUAAGUUAUGAGAUUAAGAUUUUGAUAUGGGUUCAUGCUUUUCAAGUUUUGGAUUCACUCUCAAUCUCAAGAAUCAUGAUCUGGAAAUUCUUUAAUCAUCUACAGAUCAGGUAGUUUUUUUUCCUUCUCUGGAAUUAGUGAUUCAUUCUCUCUUUCUCAUGAGCAAUUGGUAUUCAUUUCCACAUCCUUGCGUAUGAAGAACACAAGUCUUCAAUUCAAUUUGAUGUUUAGGACUGCAGAUCUGGGUUUGUGGCUUGUAUCGUAUGAACUAUUUUUUUCUCAGGAAUGAAUUUAGUUUUAUUUACUUUUUUGAGAAAAUUAUUUUUGGGUAAAAUAUUGUAUAGUCCUUGUGGUUUGAAGUCUACAUUUGUUUAGUCCUUCUGAUUUUAUUUUAAUCUGAAUGGUCCUUAAAGUCACAAUUUUAAAUAUGUUUAGUCUUUGUGGUUUUAUUUUAAUCUGAAUGGUCCUUAAAUUCACAAUUUUUAAUCCAAAUGGUCCUAGGCCAUGUCAGUAAUUUAACCGAAAAAAUUGACGGAAUGACCAUUUGGAUGAAAAAUUGUGACUUUAAAGACCAUUCAGAUUAAAAUAAAACCACAAAGAUUAAAUAGAUGACGACUUCAAACCACAAGGACGAAACAAAUUUCAAUUCAUGAUUUUUCUUUAACUUUGUUAAGUGGAUGUUAAGGUUGCUGACGUGGAGGAGAAGUGUCAAGAUUUGAAUAAGAGACAGAGAAGGAGACCAGAAAUUUGGGGACAGAUUCAAUUCAUGAUUUUUCUUUAACUUUGUUAAGUGGAUGUUAAGGUUGCUGACGUGGAAUAGAAGUGUCAAGAUUUGAAUAGGAGACAGAGAAGGAGACAAGAAAUUUGGGGACAGAAGAUUUUCUCCCGAUAAAGAUGCUCUAAGUGUGUUACAUGUCUAGUGAUCUUUGCAUUAUGUCACCGCUGUAACAAAGCAAAUAGAGUCGUCAUUAGAGUAGUACUCUUUGUUAGUUGGUACUUGUUUGAAUACAUGUACUUUGUAGAAAUUUUCGAUAUUAUUUCAGGACUUCUAUAUGCUUAGUAUUGUAAUCAGGGGUUUAAGCUUCACGUCCCCUUUUGUAUUUGACAGUUUCAUUAAUGAAGGCUUGAGGGCAGCCGCACCAUCACUUAUUCCAGAAAUGAAACUUUUGUUGUUGAAUGGUGGGAUUGAUUAAAAUUUGAGUUGUUGUUCAUAGUUAUAAGCCAUGUAUAUUUGAUAACUCUAAGAUAAAUAUCUAAGAGUUAACUCAUUCUAAUUUGGUUAGUUGUAGAAACUAGAAAGGAUAUUUGUAAAUCUUCUCUUGUAAAUCACAUAGAUCAUAGAUUAUUCUUGUGUAAGAAAAUGUACUCAUCUAAUUGUUGAUCAAGUUCAAUAUAAAUAUAUAGUGUUUUCGCGUGGUUGGCGGGGAUGGAGCCACAUGGAAUAUGGGAAGAGCGCUCCAUCUCCAAAUUAAGUCCAAAACAUGUCAAGAGAAAACAUGGUGAUAAGAGGGAAGACCAGGCUUGCUCGUCUUGGUCCAAAGCCGACCCUAUUCUUAUGAUAUGUUUCCCUGAUAUCUUUUUGUAUUUAGUUUUUACCUCUGUUAUGCUCAUAAAUAAGUGAACGCUGGUACUAUAAAACCCUCGUAAUUCAUGUAUGUUGUCAUUCUGGCAUUCAAUUAUUAAUGAAAUUUUUCAUUUUGUACAAAAAAAAAAAAGAAAAAGGAAUACACAUGCUCACCUUUUGGGCCGUGUCAAGGUUGGGCUGAGGUAAUUGAUCCCGCUGGCUUAACCCAAACCGAGCCCACAACCUGGAAACCAACACCCCGCACAAAUCUGUAUGCGCUCAUCAGAAAAACAGAAGAGCUUUCUACUUUACCGUAUCCGUCUUCUUCUGUCCCUCUUAUAAUUUGUCAAAUUCCUAAACUUUGAUAUCUAAAACUUCAUUCACCAAAGCUCGGAUCAGAAACCCACCAUGCCUCCUCCUCCCCACCACCACCAUGAUCAGCCACCGCCCCCAAAACCCAAUCCAAAGGUCCUAUCUUCAAUCCUAAAAGCCCUCAUAAUGACCUUCAUAACCUCCAUCUUCUUCCUCAUUCUCGGCUUCGUUGCCUUCCUCCUCUUCCUCAUCCUCGCCGCCGGCGCUUUCCACCGUCGCCGCACCCAGUCCGACCUCCCCUCAUCUGGGUUCUCCCCCAGACACUUCAAGACCCUCCCCCAGUUCCGCUUCCGAACCCAGAACCAAACGGUGUCGUCCGACUGUGUGGUCUGCCUGGACGCCUUUCGGGAAGGCCAGUGGUGCCGGAAACUCCCUGCUUGCGGUCACCUGUUCCACAGGAGGUGUCUCGACACGUGGCUCGUUAAGGUCUCGGCUUGUCCCAUUUGCCGGACACCUGUUUUAGGUAACGCCUCCGCCGCCGGUUUAGAAGAAGAAGAGGCGAAGCGGUUGUGGAAUUUUAAUAGGAACACGAAUUCAAGGGUUUGGUAGGAAAUAGGUAAAACUUUGUUAUCAUACUUUUUGUUUGGGUUAGAACUUCUGUAUCAUACUGGCUGUUGUUUUUUUUGCUAAUCUGUAUUAGAUUGUUCAUAUACGAUUCCAUCAGGGUGUCAUUGUAUAUAUUUCUAAUUCUUCUGUUUUGUAUUCAUUGGAUUAGGUUUGGUUCAUAACAUUUAGGAUCAGAUUAUAAAGUUUGGCCUUUCCUUCCUAGUUUUAAUUCAGAAGAAAAGCUGCUUGUCUUAGAUGAAAUGGGUUUGAUGAUCAUGCCAUCGAGUCCUACUCAACUAGGAGUUAAUCAUAAUGAUUGGUUUUGUGGAAUGCUCUUUUAAGGCUGAUUUUACACGAUUGAUCAGCAUGGAAGACAAACCAUCUAGUCUUUGCUGAAAUUACAUGUUGGUUGAUUUAUGUUCUUAUUUGAAAUUGAGGUAGAUGGUGUUCAAUGCUUAAACCACGUCCUGCAAAGUGUGCAAGGGAGAUGCUGUGGAUGGCAUUAGGAAAUGGGAUCCCUUAGGAAAUUUAGUUGGGAGUCUCGCAUUCCAACAUUUCUGACCAACUCGUAUCCAGAGUGCGGUUGAUGGGGAACAGCCUUCUUUCAGAGACUUAUUCAACCAGGCAUAUUCCAAGGUUUGAUUCGUUUUCCUUUUCUCUGUUUCUCUGAGUUUUCUUUUCCUGCUCUGUUUUUAAUAGUAGACAAAUUUCAAAUAUUAUGAAUAAAUCGUCAGCUGUAGCCGAUAGGAUCAAAUACUCCAUGUAGAUAAUCUGAACUAUACAGGACAUAGCCAAAGACAGUGCCGUAUAUGACUAUAGUAAUCACCGCUGUAUAUAUGAUGUAGAUAUUUUGAACUGGAUUGGAACUUACUAUAGUCUCAGCUUGGGGAUACAAGUUGUCUGAAUAAUGACAGACCAACAUAAUGGUUUUGAGUAACCAAAAGUUUUAUACGGGUGCUGAUCCUUUCACAUAAUCAUAUUUUCAGGUUUUAUGAAGUGAUUUUGUUUGUUUGCUUGUUCCUUUUUUUCGUAUUUGGUCUGUAAUUAUUGUUUGUAGUAAAUGGAAAUGCAAAACUAUAUUAGACUAGAGAUCUUGAUAUGCCUUCUAAAUCAAUCAAUGAAGGCUUGAGAGCAGCCGUACUAGCAUUUUAUUCAAAAAAUAAAAUAAAACACUCUUUCCGAUUCAUUCAGAAAUUGCUGAAAAUUUCCAUCUACCAAGUAGCUAAAUAUUGCUAAAGUGUGAGGAAAAAAAUUAUUUAUGGCAUAUGUGACUUUUGAGAGUAGAAAGUGGUUACUCCCUGGCAAUAUUUAACUAGCUCCAAGUUGGAAAUUUUGCUUCGCUGCGAUGAGUUUUAUUUUAUUAUCGGUAAAUUUACUUUCAUUUUUAGGGAAAGGGUUUUAGAGGGACCAAAAGCACAAGAAAAAGAAGGACAAACUUAGAAGGGAGAAAUUCCACAACACCGAGGUCGUCCGGAUCGAUGCCUCGAACCACUAUUUUUUUAGCUUGCUUAUACAGUAAUCCAAUUAAUGAGCUCUUAUUAGUUCCUGCCUCCAUUGCCAGAGUCCUCACAUAUCCACGCCCCUCACCGUGACCCUCACCAAGUCACCAUUACUAGUAGGGGUGGGCUCGGGUCGGGUCGGGUCGGGUUUUACAUGAAACCUAAAAGUUUUAGGUCAGGUCGGGUCGGGCCUUUUCAAAAUGUAAACCCAACUGAGACCGGCCCGAUUCGGGCUUUCGGGCUUUUUCGGGCCUAAAUUGAAUUCGGGCUUUUUUCAGGCCCAAAAAAAGAAUUAGAUGCCUUUUCCAUUUUGGGGCUCUAUAUCAGAGCAGUUGUUAUGCUUCUGCUACAAUAACAGUGAUAAUGUCAAGUUUCAAUAACUACUAGGCUAUUACAUUAUGGGUUUCACAAACAUGAGUGAAACUAACUAACUCAAAAUAGACUAAUGACAAUGUUAGUAUUCUUCCUGCAAGUUACAACUUUAGUUGGUUUCACUUUGAAUAAGGCAACUCGAAGCAGAAAUCAUUUUCGAAGACCUAGGAGUUCAAAGCAACAUGAAAAUUGUGAGACACUGACACAAUCCAAACUUAUCAGGACAUUACUAGUAUACUCAAAUUAACAUCAAUACCACAAAUAAACAAAUUACAGAUUACAAUCUUGAAAUGCCUUAAUCAUCAAACAGGUAGGAACUGACAUAUCACAGAAUCUGCUCAACAUUAUCAAACUGAACAAUGGAAUCCUCCUAACUGUAUCAAGGAAAAAGUACCAAAAGUUAUAAAUUAUAGGUAUGUCAGUAGGGAACUACGCCAAAGCAUAACUGACAAGGUCAGUAGGAAGAUGCAGGGCUUUUGGUUGUGACAUCAAAAACUAACUAAUGCAGAGCUCAAUCCAUUUACUUUACUUAAUGGCUAUGCAUUACUCUUAAUCUGCAUAAAUGCUACUGAACUUUAAUAUCAUUCAUGCAAAAGAACAUGGAUGAUGUAGUGCAAAUUUCUUGUUCAGUGGCUGCGGGUGUAGGAGAGGAUACUGAACAAAAGGUAAUCUCGGAUAAAUGAACUCCGUCUUUAAUCUUAUUCUUCUUAUUUACAAAACUACACCCACACCCUUGCUGAUAUUGCUCUAAACAAUUGCAAGCUAAUAGAGCGACAAAAUGAUCCUAAAGACAUAAUAGAUGGUUAAGCCUUAAAUAAAUUGAAUUGACAAACACAAACUACAUUUCAUACAACAUAGUUAUAUUAAAAGCAGAUCCAGUACAACACUGAGAGAAUUAAUAAUGGAAAAUAAACUGAAGAGAAAGCUCAAAAUCCCUCACAUCAUGAGAAUUUAAAGGUGGCAACAUCUAUAAUUAAAGAGCAGCUUUAACAUAGUCAAAUGAUUACACAAAUAUCAAACUAGAUAAUUAAAAGCUGUUGGGAAAACAAAAUGAAGCACUAGAUAACUUUAUGUACCAACUAACCUUUCAGCACAAACAAUUUUACAAAACACUAAACAAUACCUAAUGUUUUUGUUGCCUUCCCUCUUUAGAUGACUUAGAUGCCCUACAUGCUACAGCUUUCCCUUUAGAAGCUUGAGAAGAUUUGGUGGUAAUAGGCAUUUCCGGGUGAUCCUCAGUACCAUUGACACCUUCUUCCUUUUCCGGUUUUGCACCAUAGAUACCAACAAAAGCUCAAGUUCAAAUCGAAACUAAAACUCAGAAUGAAACGAAAAUUAAGAAAAGAAAUAAAAAGUUUUACCUUCCUCCACAGAUUCAUAAAAUUUCAUAUCCUCAAUAGUUGGAACAUAUUGAAUGUUGUGGAUACUCUCAAACCUAAUCCAAUUUUGGUUGCAGAUUAAGGCCUCCACUAUCUUGGGAGAUAAAGAACUCCGAAAUGGAUCAAUCACCCUUCUACCAGUAUUAAAUGAAGACUCGGCUGCUACCGUGCUCACUUGGAUGGCCGACACAUCUUUUGCAAGUGCAGCAAGACCUGGAUACUUGUCACCAUUCAUCUUCCACCAUUCUAAUAUGUUGAAUUUCUCAGGACUUGGAAGCUUCUCAAUUGGGUCCAGUAGGUAUCUGUCCACUUCGUGUACAACAACAGCUUCUUGAGAGUCUUCCAAUUCUCUCUCUCAUUUUUCUUCCAUGUCUUUUAUGAUUCCAGUUGUCACAUCUCGACCUUUAAAUUUUUACCUUAUUUACUAGCUUGGUUAUAAUAAGAAUUUUACCGUCUUCGUCAAUGAAGUUAUAGUUUAAUUGGUCCCUAGAGGGGUUUUGGGGAACGAUUAUUUCGGAGAGUUAUUCAUAGAAGAAAAUUAUGACGACGGUAAAAAUGGUAAAUUUUAGCUAGUAAAAGGUAAUUUUUAUUAGGGUAUUAUUUUUGGGGUGUAAAUUUUGGAGUUGGGUUUGUUUUAGAGGGGGGGUUUUAAGUUGGACCGGUUUGGGGUGUGGAGGCCCAAAACCAUUUCCCUCUUCUCUUUUUCUUCCCGGUUGCCCUCUUCCCCGACUCUCUCCCGUUGCCCCAUUUUCCGGCCGUCCGCCCGCCGCCGUCCGGCCACCAUCUGCCGCCGCACCGGUCCCGUUCGGUCGGCCUCCGACCCAGUAACCUCCCUGGACCGGUGACAGCUCCCCUAGUGCCGCCGUGAGAGAGAAACGAUGCCUGAAGCCGGUGGAAGCCGUGGUGGUUCUUGUUGUGUUUUGGCUCGUUGAUAUGAUUUGGAAAUUAAGGAUUCAGUAGGAAAAUCUUAGUCUAGAAAGGAAAGAGGAUUUUCUAUAAGUUUUAGGAAAGUAAUCUUUCAAGAUCUGUUAGGAUUUUGUCUGCUAGGUUUAGGAGUCCUAAAAAUCUUAUUGUAUCAGCAGCCCCUAUAAUAGGGAGCCGCAGGGGGAUUCUCUAAGAGUGAGACAGAAAACCUAGAGAGUCAAGAGUGAUAGAGAGAUAAGAGAUCUAGCAGGGAGNNNNNNNNNNNNNNNNNNNNNNNNNNNNNNNNNNNNNNNNNNNNNNNNNNNNNNNNNNNNNNNNNNNNNNNNNNNNNNNNNNNNNNNNNNNNNNNNNNNNNNNNNNNNNNNNNNNNNNNNNNNNNNNNNNNNNNNNNNNNNNNNNNNNNNNNNNNNNNNNNNNNNNNNNNNNNNNNNNNNNNNNNNNNNNNNNNNNNNNNNNNNNNNNNNNNNNNNNNNNNNNNNNNNNNNNNNNNNNNNNNNNNNNNNNNNNNNNNNNNNNNNNNNNNNNNNNNNNNNNNNNNNNNNNNNNNNNNNNNNNNNNNNNNNNNNNNNNNNNNNNNNNNNNNNNNNNNNNNNNNNNNNNNNNNNNNNNNNNNNNNNNNNNNNNNNNNNNNNNNNNNNNNNNNNNNNNNNNNNNNNNNNNNNNNNNNNNNNNNNNNNNNNNNNNNNNNNNNNNNNNNNNNNNNNNNNNNNNNNNNNNNNNNNNNNNNNNNNNNNNNNNNNNNNNNNNNNNNNNNNNNNNNNNNNNNNNNNNNNNNNNNNGAGUCGAUCACACUCUCUAAAGUGUGUGAGAACCUGGAAUCUUACAUCAGAUUGGAGAGAGAAGAAGAUAGUUCUCAAGCACGGGGACUCUAUGUCAGAGGCAAGGAGAGAGGAAGGUCAAGGAAUAGAGGUGGUGGAUUUCAAGGAAGGGCCAGGUCUAAAUCCAAGGGAAAAGGCAAAGAAAAGAAAGAUGGUUGCUUCGUAUGUGGUUCACCCGACCACUGGAAAAGGAAUUGCAAACAAUGGAAGGAGAAGAAGGCGCAGAUGUCAAGAGAAAGCUCCCAGUCAGCCAACGUCGUCAUUGGAUACAAUGAUGAGGAUGGAAAACUCCUCAUAAUCUCAACCAGCUCCGGCGCGCCUAGACAUUGGACCUUGGAUACGGCCUGCACGUUUCAUAUGUGUGCACACAGAGAUUGGUUCAACACAUAUAAGGAGAGGAACACCGGAUCAGUUUUGAUGGGAAAUGAUUCACCAAGCAGAAUUAUGGGAAUCGGAACAGUAAGGAUCAGAAUGCAUGAUGGCAUUGUCAGAAUGCUGGGAAACGUUAGACAUAUCCCAGGUUUGAGCAGAAAUCUGAUUUCAUUAAGUACCAUGGAUAGGGCUGGAUUUUGGCAUAAAGGUCAGAAUGGAGUGCUCAAAGUAGGAAAGGGACAAAUGGUCUACAUGAAGGUGCAAUACAACCAGAUAACAUGUAUAAACUUACAGGUUCUACAGUAGAAGGUGGAGCAGCAGUUUGUACGGAAGAAGACAAGAUUGAGCUUUGGCAUAGAAGGCUAGGGCACAUGAGUCAAAGUGGGUUGCAAGAAUUACACAAGAAGGAACAGUUAGAUGGUGUAAUGAGCGCAGCUUUAGAAUUUUGCAAGUAUUGCACACUUGGGAAGCAGACCAGAGUGUCAUUCAAUUUGAGCAGCAGCGAGAACAAAUCCAAAGGAGUACUAGACUAUAUUCACACAGAUGUCUGGGGGCCAUCAGCAACAAUAUCAAAGGGUGGAGCCAGAUACUUCGUGUCCUUCAAAGAUGAUUUCUCAAGGAAGGUCUGGAUUUUCUUUAUGAAGACUAAAAACGAGGUUUUCACCAAGUUCAAGGAAUGGAAAGUUGAAGUAGAAAAUCAGACGGGCAGAAAAAUGAAGUGUUUGAGGAGCGACAAUGGAGGUGAAUAUAGAGAUAAGAAGUUCUUACAGCUGUGCAAAGAUGAAGGCAUCACAAGGCACUUUACUGUUAAGAAGACUCCCCAACAAAACGGUGUUGCAGAGAUGAUGAACAGAACUCUCAUGGAAAAGAAGGAGCANNNNNNNNNNNNNNNNNNNNNNNNNNNNNNNNNNNNNNNNNNNNNNNNNNNNNNNNNNNNNNNNNNNNNNNNNNNNNNNNNNNNNNNNNNNNNNNNNNNNNNNNNNNNNNNNNNNNNNNNNNNNNNNNNNNNNNNNNNNNNNNNNNNNNNNNNNNNNNNNNNNNNNNNNNNNNNNNNNNNNNNNNNNNNNNNNNNNNNNNNNNNNNNNNNNNNNNNNNNNNNNNNNNNNNNNNNNNNNNNNNNNNNNNNNNNNNNNNNNNNNNNNNNNNNNNNNNNNNNNNNNNNNNNNNNNNNNNNNNNNNNNNNNNNNNNNNNNNNNNNNNNNNNNNNNNNNNNNNNNNNNNNNNNNNNNNNNNNNNNNNNNNNNNNNNNNNNNNNNNNNNNNNNNNNNNNNNNNNNNNNNNNNNNNNNNNNNNNNNNNNNNNNNNNNNNNNNNNNNNNNNNNNNNNNNNNNNNNNNNNNNNNNNNNNNNNNNNNNNNNNNNNNNNNNNNNNNNNNNNNNNNNNNNNNNNNNNNNNNNNNNNNNNNNNNNNNNNNNNNNNNNNNNNNNNNNNNNNNNNNNNNNNNNNNNNNNNNNNNNNNNNNNNNNNNNNNNNNNNNNNNNNNNNNNNNNNNNNNNNNNNNNNNNNNNNNNNNNNNNNNNNNNNNNNNNNNNNNNNNNNNNNNNNNNNNNNNNNNNNNNNNNNNNNNNNNNNNNNNNNNNNNNNNNNNNNNNNNNNNNNNNNNNNNNNNNNNNNNNNNNNNNNNNNNNNNNNNNNNNNNNNNNNNNNNNNNNNNNNNNNNNNNNNNNNNNNNNNNNNNNNNNNNNNNNNNNNNNNNNNNNNNNNNNNNNNNNNNNNNNNNNNNNNNNNNNNNNNNNNNNNNNNNNNNNNNNNNNNNNNNNNNNNNNNNNNNNNNNNNNNNNNNNNNNNNNNNNNNNNNNNNNNNNNNNNNNNNNNNNNNNNNNNNNNNNNNNNNNNNNNNNNNNNNNNNNNNNNNNNNNNNNNNNNNNNNNNNNNNNNNNNNNNNNNNNNNNNNNNNNNNNNNNNNNNNNNNNNNNNNNNNNNNNNNNNNNNNNNNNNNNNNNNNNNNNNNNNNNNNNNNNNNNNNNNNNNNNNNNNNNNNNNNNNNNNNNNNNNNNNNNNNNNNNNNNNNNNNNNNNNNNNNNNNNNNNNNNNNNNNNNNNNNNNNNNNNNNNNNNNNNNNNNNNNNNNNNNNNNNNNNNNNNNNNNNNNNNNNNNNNNNNNNNNNNNNNNNNNNNNNNNNNNNNNNNNNNNNNNNNNNNNNNNNNNNNNNNNNNNNNNNNNNNNNNNNNNNNNNNNNNNNNNNNNNNNNNNNNNNNNNNNNNNNNNNNNNNNNNNNNNNNNNNNNNNNNNNNNNNNNNNNNNNNNNNNNNNNNNNNNNNNNNNNNNNNNNNNNNNNNNNNNNNNNNNNNNNNNNNNNNNNNNNNNNNNNNNNNNNNNNNNNNNNNNNNNNNNNNNNNNNNNNNNNNNNNNNNNNNNNNNNNNNNNNNNNNNNNNNNNNNNNNNNNNNNNNNNNNNNNNNNNNNNNNCAUGAGAUUUCAUGCAGGGUUGCCUGAAGAGUUUUGGGCAGAAGCGGCUAAUCAUGCAUGUUAUUUGAUUAAUCGAUCACCUUCUAGGGCUAUUAAUUUCAAGUGUGCAGAGGAGGUAUGGUCUGGAAAACCGGUUGAUUAUUCCAACUUAAGGGUGUUUGGUUGCAGUGCUUAUGCACAUAUUCCCAAAGACGAAAGAACCAAGCUGGAACCUAAGUCUCUUGAAUGCUUGUUCAUCGGCUUCGAGAAAGGAGUAAAAGGUUAUAAGUUGUGGGAUAUAGUCAAUGAGAAAAAGGUGAUCAGCAGAGACGUUGUCUUUGAUGAAAAGACCAUGCCAUUAAAUGAAGAAGAUAAUAGCAAGAAGGGGCAGAUGGCUGUUGAUGAAGGAGAAGCAAUCAGUAUUUCAUUAGCUAAACCAUCAGUUGCAGAUUCCGAAGCUCAGGUGGAGCAAAUUGAGCAAGGGAAUGAUGAAUUAGCUAUUGAGGAACCAGAGCAUCAACAACAACCAACCGUUAUGGCUCAGGUGGAGCAAUCUCCACAAAGAGGAUAGAAUUCUCCUAUGCCACAAGCACCUGAGUCAUUCAAAAGAAGCAUAGAAAUAGAGGAGUGAAGUGGAGGAGGAAGAAGAUGACACAACUCACAGAAGGUCAUAUAUUCUGAAAUGGGCAAGGAAGACAAACACAAAGAGUGAAAGAGGUGACAAACCCAAAAGGAAUCGAAAACCAAUUCAGCGUUUUGGAUUCGAACUGGAAGAAGAUGUGAGUCGUGCUCUGAGUAUAAGUCAAGGAGAUCCAACAACAUACGAAGACACCAUAGAAAGCGUGGAAAGUGCAGGUUGGAUCAGUGCUAUGACUGAAGAGAUGGAAUCUUUGCAUAAGAAUUCCGUGUGGGAGCUGGUUCCUAAACCCAAAGAAAGAAAACUUGUUGGCUGCAAGUGGGUGUUUAGGAAGAAAGAAGGAAUACAUGAAGAUGAUGCCAUGACUUACAAAGCACGUUUGGUGGCAAAAGGGUAUUCGCAGAAAGUAGUGGAUUAUGACGAGAUUUUCUCUCCAGUCGUCAAACACACUUCAAUCAGAUUGUUGUUGUCUAUAGCAGCUCAAUAUGAUAUGGAGAUUGAGCAGAUGGAUGUGAAGACUACUUUUCUUCAUGGGGACCUCGAAGAAGACAUUUAUAUGUCGCAGCCAGAGGGUUUUGUUGAAACAGGAAAAGAGAAUCUGGUUUGUCGCUUGAGGAAGUCUCUAUAUGGGCUCAAGCAAUCACCAAGGCAGUGGUACAAACAUUUCGACACAUACAUGCUGAAAAUAGGCUACACAAGAUGUCUAUAUGACUGUUGCGUCUACUACCAUGUAUUCGAAGAUGGGGAAUUCAUUCUACUACUUUUGUAUGUAGAUGACAUGCUAAUUGCAUGCAGGGAGAUGUCGAAAAUUCAAGAACUUAAGAAGAAGUUAGGAGCUGAAUUCGAUAUGAAGGAUCUAGGAGCUGCACAGAAGAUCCUUGGGAUUGAAAUAAAGAGGGAUAGAAGCGAAAGAAAAAUAUGGCUGUCACAAGAAAAGUACAUCAUGAAGGUACUUGAAUGCUUCAACAUGGAUGGAGCCAAGUUUGUUUCUACCCCAUUAGCUGGACACUUUAAGUUGAGUGCACAGCAAAGGCCAUCAAAUCAGAAAGAAAUUGAUGUGAUGAAGAAUGUUCCAUAUGCAAGUGCAGUAGGAUGUCUCAUGUAUGCAAUGAUAUGCACAAGACCAGAUUUAGCUCAAGCAUUGAGCGUCGUCUCCAAGUAUAUGUCAAAUCCGGGUAAACGCCAUUGGGAAGCAGUAAAGUGGAUUUUAAGGGUACUUGAAGAGGACUAAGCAGCUUGGAAUUANNNNNNNNNNNNNNNNNNNNUCCACAACAGGUUAUGUUUUCACCUGUGGAGGAGGACCUGUGAGCUGGAAGGCGACUCUUCAAGCAGUCACAGCUCUAUCUACUACAGAGGCAGAGUAUAUGGCAUUAACAGAGGCUUCAAAGGAGGCUAUUUGGUUGAAUGGGCUGGCAAGUCAGUUUGGGAUUCACCAAGAAGGCGUGGUAGUGAAGUGUGACAGCCAAAGUGCCAUUCACUUGGCAAAGAAUCAGGUGUUUCAUGCAAGAACGAAGCACAUUGAUGUUCGCUAUCACAGGAUCAGAGAUUGGGUAGAAGCUGGAGAUAUCAUUGUGGAGAAGGUUCACACAAAUGACAAUGCAGCAGAUUGUUUAACCAAGCCCGUUUCUGCAAAGAAGUUCAAGCAUUGCUUGGACUUGCUUAGUGUCACAGCUUGCUGAGUUGUGGUGGAGCACCUCCACACUUGAGGUGCGUUAAGGCAAGAAGAGUCUUGCCAAGGUGAAGGUUCUUAGAGGUUUUGUUUAGGGUUACUUCAAGAAGAUUCAAGAUAUCCUAAAGGGAGCAGCAAUCAUUUGGUAUCAACUCACCAAGGUGGAGAUUGUUGUGUUUUGGCUCGUUGAUAUGAUUUGGAAAUUAAGGAUUCAGCAGGAAAAUCUUAGUCUAUAAAGGAAAGAGGAUUUUCUAUAAGUUUUAGAAAAGUAAUCUUUCAAGAUCUGUUAAGAUUUUGUCUGCUAGGUUUAGGAGUCCUAAAAAUCUUAUUGUAUCAGCAGCCCCUAUAAUAGGGAGCCGCAGGGGGAUUCUCUAAGAGUGAGACAAAAAACCUAGAGAGUCAAGAGUGAUAGAGAGAUAAGAGAUCUAGCAGGGAGUUGGGGAUUAGCAUAGGGAUUUCAAUAAGUACUUGUAAUCAAGUUGUUAUUCUCCAUAGUGCUAGUGAUUCUCUCAAGAGAGAUCACAAAGUGGACGUAGGCUAAUUAUAGCUGAACCACUAUAAUUCCGCUGUGUCUGUUUAUGUGCUCAUUUGUUUUUAUCUUUGCUUAUAUCGUAAAGUCUAAGUAAAGAUCCUAGGGACUUAACCACUAUAGUUCUCUCGCCGGAACUCCGUCCUCCGGCCACCAUAGCCGGCGAUCCUUGACUCGUUUUGUAGCCCUCCUCCCGUGCAGCAACCCCUCCAAAGGACUCACUCUCUCUUAAGCUAGGUAAGGAGAAAUACGGAGUUGAAUUUUCUAGGGCUUUUAGGAUGUUUUUGUUCGAUUGACAUAGUUAGGCUUGGAAUUGGGUGUUGUGUUACUUAGGAAAGUUGUAGAGCAUGAUGAGAAGAUUAUUCUGUCAAAAUUUCAUAGGCAUUAGAGGUCGCCGGAAUCGGCCUCUGGCCGCCGUUGUUUGGGAGUUUUGUAUAGUUUUAAAUGUGGAAUAUUAAGGGGAGUAUUUUGAUGUGAAGUAUGAAUUUUCGGAUGAGUUUUGGAUAGGUUUGUGAAUUUCUAAAGUUUGGUAUUUUUUGGCGGUUGAUUAAUGUAGAAUCCGACCGUAGGAUUUAAGUCGUUAAUCUGUAGAAGAUUGUUUUAAGGCUCCCGGUAUGUUCGGUGAAGUUUGAGCCAUUUUGAGUUAAGAAUGGCGUAGUUGGGCAAUGAUGAGUGUGUGGGAGGCUCACGUUUAAUUUUGCCCAUUCUGUUUAAUUAUUGGAUUUUUAGUGGGAAAUUAAUAUUAUAUUUGGAACAGGAUGUGAGGAGGCUCGAGCAGACGAGGCCCCAGAUCGAAGUCAGGCUUAGGCCUAAUUUGUGAGUGGACUUUUGUUUUAAAUAAAAUGCAUGCUAUAGUUCAUAGAUGAACAAUUAAUGUUGUGGAGCAUUUUGACGUCAUUUUAUUUUGACGAUUUUUAUUUCUCUUGGAGAGUUAUGUAUUUAUGAGAGAGUAUGUAUAUAAAAGCUAGCUAGCCUAUGUGUCUGUCCACCUUAAUGGCGUAGCAUAUAGCCGCAUUAUGGUGUGACGUGAGCGUUGAACGUGAGCGUAGUAGCCCUAUUUGAGUGUUUAAUUCAUAUAAGGGGUAUGGACACAUAUUUAUACACUUGUCUGUCCACAUUAACGGUGUAGUGUAGCACCGCAUUAAGGCGUGACGUGAGCAUUGGACGCGAGCGUAGUAGCCCUAUAUAGACCCAUGAAUUUAUAUAGGGAGUAUGGACGAGUGUAAAUACAUACAUAUAUUUUAGAGUCUGAGAGGCUCGAUAUUUUAUGAGAUAAAAUAUUUAUCACAUGCGGCAUGCAUUCGAUUUUUCCUUGGAAAGUGACUUGGGAAACAUAAAUAUUUUUUAUUUAUUAUUUUAUUUUUUGUCCACUCACUCUAACGUUAUUAAAUGUUUUCCCCUAGGCCAUUCGUUUUAAAAUGCCCAGUCUGCAGAGUUCGGGUCGGAUCUAAUAGGAGGCGAGGCAUAGUCACCCACAUUUCCGCCAAUUUUCAUCAGUAGGUUAACUGUUUAACCUACUAGUUUCUUGCUUUCGCUAGUGGCUAGUAGCUCUGAAUACUUUGGAUUAUUGUAAAUUAUUUCGGUGGUGUGCUCGGUCUGUUGAUUGUAUGUUGAGAAUGUUUGAAGGAUAAUGUUUGCUGUUUUUAGCUGGAUAUUUAUAUGAUGCUUGGACGUGUUGCAGUAAGAGUGUAAAUUUGUAAUUUUCGAGUUAGGGUUGUCCAUUUUCAAGGGAGGUUUUACCAAUCUUUUCGGUAAAUUUUUCCUUGGAGGUGGUCCCCGCACGACUUACUCCGGGUUUCCUGGUGAAAUUCGAGGUGGGUCGUGUCAGUUGGUAUCAGAGUUUUAGGUUUCCUUUUCCUGCUUCCUUGUCACUAUCAUAUUUGCCUAAGUAGCAUGUAGUGUCUAUAGAGUGAUGAUCCGACCGUGGCGGAUUCAUUGGCAUUUUAUACUUUUGAUGCUAUGUGUUAUUGGGUAUGUGUGAUAGUUGUGUUAGUCUUAUUUAUGGACUACUAAAUAUCUUCUUCCUCAGGUGCUAUGCCUCCUAGGUGCCCACGACAACCCCGUGUGGCUACUUCGACCAAUGCCGAUGAGGGCAAUGAGGUCAGGGGACUGGUUGAUGAUAUUGGAAAUAUGCUGAGGGAUGUCAUGGAUCGAGCUCCACGCCCUCCUACGGUGAAAAGGAGAGAAGUUUAUGAUGCUGGAGCCAGAGAGUUCAAGGGUGCCAAGGGACCUCUUAAUGCUCACAAUUGAGUGGACAAGAUGGAAAAUGCUUUUGCGAGCACUAAGUUGCCAGAAGAAAGAAAGGUGAAGAUGGCAGUGACUUUUCUGGAUGAUUCAGCACAUCACUGGUGGUCGCUUGCCAGUAGGAAUGUUGAGGAUGCGCUGAAUAUGUCGUGGGAGCAGUUUAAGACUCUUCUUGGGGCAGUAUUUCAAUCAUGCCCACCACAGCAGAAUUCAGUCGGAUUUCCUGCAUAUGACGAAGAGGGAUGAUGAGGGUAUCAUAGAGUUCCAGGAAAGAUUCACUUCCCUGAGCUACCAGGUGUCAUAGCUGGUUCCUGAUGAGAAGACCAAGAUUAAGAUGUUCAUUGGGGCACUUGGUGGAGUGUAUGCGGACAAGAUGACAGGGGUAAUUUACCCGACCUUUACGGAUGCAGUUGGUGCAGCCAUGACCAUUGAGUCCAAGGGGACAUAUGGUGCUCGGCCCAGUGAUUACAGUGGCCCCAGUCAGGGUCCAUCCAAGAAGGCUGCUUCAUCAUCCGCUUCUGGUUCUUCAGCUGGUAGUGGCAGUAGUGGAGGAUCGGGUUCUAAUUCUCGGUUCAGGGUUAGAGGACGUCACAGGAGAUCUUCUCGGAGUCAUUUGGGUAGGCAGCAAUCUAGACAGUAUGGUUCUGGUGGCAGCUUCCAGGAUGGGUCAUCUAGUAGCCAAACUUUUUCUUAUGGGCAGCAGCAGUUUUUUGGGUGUUUUGAGUGUGGUGGUCAAGACCACUUCAGGAGAGAUUGCCCAGUGUUGGCUCAGAGGACCACCCCCACCCCUACUCAGCCAGUUGGUCAGUCUUCAGCUAGAGGCUCUAGUAGUGGUGCCCGGGGCAGUGCUUCGGUCAGAGGUGGCUCUCAGCGGGGAAGUGAUCAGCGUGGACGUCCCAUGACUCGCGCUAGACUGCAUGCUAUGACCCAGCAGGAGGGUCGUACUUCUCCAGAUGUCAUCAUUGGUACGUUAUUAAUUUUUGGUCAGCCUGCAUUUAGUUUAAUUGAUCCCGGAGCCACGCAUUCAUUCAUGUCUAGUAGAUUUGCCCUCCAUGCCAAUGUGCCAUCAUCGUCUCUUCCAAGCGAGUGGCAUGUGUCUCUACCCUCCGGUGAGGUGAUGAGAAUAAAUUGGGUGUUUAGUAGUUGGGAAGUUUUAGCAAAAGGAGUUAAUUUCGAGGCUGAUUUAAUUCCUUUAGAUAUAGUGGAGUUUGAUGCGAUCUUGGGAAUGAACUUUUUAGAAGCAUAUAGAGCUAUGGUAGAUUGUUAUCAGAAAGUAGUGGUGCUUCGAAGUCCAGAUGGUUUUGAGGUUGCUUUCCAAGGGGAAAGAGAUGUUAUUUCUAGUUGCAUAAUUUCCGCUGUUGCUGCAAGGAAAUUAUUGAGUAAAGGCUGUCAGGCAUAUUUAGCUCAUGUGGUGGAUUCAAGUAUGGGAGUUGUGGGAAUAGAAGAUAUUCCAGUAGUAAGGGAGUUCCCGGAUGUUUUUCCUGAAGAGUUGUCUGGUUUACCUCCUGCAAGGGAGAUAGAUUUCUUUAUAGAAUUACUUCCUGGAACUAUGCCUAUCUCACAGGCACCUUACAGAAUGGCUCUAGCGGAAUUGAAAGAGUUGAAGACUCAAUUGCAGGAGUUGGUAGAUAAGGGUUUUAUUCGGCCUAGCAUGUCUCCACGGGGUGCUCCAGUGUUGUUUGUUAAGAAGAAAGACGGCACCAUAAGACUAUGCAUUGAAUAUAGGAAGUUGAAUCAGGUCACGGUGAAGAAUAAAUAUCCGUUGCCUCGGAUCGAUGAUUUAUUUGAUCAGUUGAGGGGUGCCUUGGUUUUCUCUAAGAUUGAUUUGAGAUCGGGUUAUCAUCAGUUGCGGAUCCGAGAGGGUGACAUAGCCAAGACUGCUUUCCGAUCACGUUAUGGUCAUUAUGAAUUUGUGGUGAUGCCAUUUGGAUUUACUAACGCACCUGCAACAUUCAUGGAUCUCAUGAAUAGGGUGUUUAGUCCAUAUCUUGAUCGUUUCGUGAUCGUAUUCAUUGAUUACAUCUUGGUUUACUCACGAAGUGAGAAGGAGCAUGCCAAGCAUCUAAGAAUAAUAUUACGGACUUUGGAAAAUUCGUAGUUAUAUGCUAAGUUGAGCAAGUGUGAGUUUUGGCUAGAUAAAGUGAGGUUCUUGGGUCAUGUGGUUUCGGUAGAAGGAGUUGGUGUGGAUCUCCAAAAGGUGGAAGCAGUGUCAAAUUGGAGAAGACCCAUCACUGUGACGGAGAUCCGUAGUUUCUUGGGAUUAGCAGGUUAUUAUCAGCGCUUUGUGAAAGAUUUUUCAAAAAUUGCUGCUCCUCUUACAAGAUUGACCAGGAAGGGGGUUAAGUUUGAUUGGUCAGAUCAAUGUGAGCAAAGUUUUCAAGAACUGAAGAAUUGCUUGACAAGUGCUCUUGUUUUGGCACUUCCGGAUGAUAGUGGAGAGUAUGUGGUCUAUUGUGAUGCUUCUAGACGUGGUAUAGGUGGAGUUUUGAUGCAGCAUGAUCGAGUUAUUGCCUACGCUUCUAGGCAAUUGAAGCCGCAUGAGGGGAAUUAUCCUACUCAUGAUCUGGAGCUUGCAGCGGUAGUUUUUGCUCUCAAGUUGUGGAGACACUAUCUUUAUGGAGCCAAGUGUCAGAUUUUUACCGAUCACAAGAGUCUUCGGUAUGUGUUCACUCAAAGAGAGCUAAAUAUGAGACAGAGAAGGUGGAUGGAGUUAAUCAAUGAUUAUGAUUGCACUAUUGAGUAUCAUCCUGGAAAGCUAAUGUGGUAGCUGAUGCUCUUAGUCGAAAUCCCUCCAUAUCUUUAUCUCAUAUAAAGAUGGUUCGUGUUCCGCUUCUUUGUGAGUUGCGAGCUACAGGGGUGGAUUUAGCAAUAGAUAAGGUUGGUGCUUUGGUAGCCAGUUUUCAUGUGAGGCCAGUUUUGGUUGAUAGAGUGCGGGAAGCACAGAAUAAUAAUCCUUUCAUAGUUCGAUUGAUAAAAAGAGCUUCGAAUGGAGCCGCAGUCGAUCAUUUUUUAGUUAGAAGAGAUGGGACUCUAUUAUUUAAGAACCGGCUAUGUGUUUCAAAAAGAAAUGAAGAGUUGAAGAGUAAGAUUAUGGAGGAAGCUCAUAGUUCGGCUUAUGCUGCUCAUCCGGGUAGCACAAAAAUGUAUCGGAUUUUGAAGUAUUAUUAUUGGUGGCCAAACAUGAAGAGGGAAAUUGCAGCUUAUGUGAGUAGAUGUCUGAUUUGUUAGCAAGUAAAGGCAGAAAGGUAGAAGCCUUCUGGUUUGCAUGAGCCGUUGUCUAUUCCAGUGUGGAAGUGGGACCACAUCAUCAUGGAUUUUGUUUUCAGUUUACCUCGUACCCGUGAAGGGCAUGACGGUAUUUGGGUGAUUGUGGAUAGACUCACCAAGUUUGCACAUUUCUUGCCAGUGGGAAAGAAGUAUAAAUUGGAUAAAUUGGCGGAGCUUUAUGUGAAUGAAAUUGUGAGGCUUCAUGGUGUUCCUGAAUCAAUAGUGUCGGAUCGGGAUCCUGGAUUUGCUUCGAAAUUCUGGGGAGCUCUUUAGGCAGCUUUAGGUACCCAAUUACUCUUCAGCACUGCUUUUCAUCCUCAGGCUGAUGGGCAGUCCGAGAGAAUUAUUCAGACUUUGGAGGAUAUGUUGAGGGCUUGUGCCUUGCAGUUUAGAGGGAGUUGGGAUAAAAACCUAUCUUUGAUGGAAUUUGCCUAUAAUAAUAGCUAUCAUUCUAGCAUUGGUAUGGCUCCCUUUGAGGCACUUUAUGGGAGACAGUGUCGCACGCCCUUGUGUUGGAAUGAAGUAGGGUAAAAAGAGCUUUGCAGUCCUGAGUUGAUUCAUAUUACAAAUGAGAAGAUUAAAGUGGUUAGAGAUAGACUCAAGGCCACUCAAAGUAGGCAGAAGAGUUAUGCAGAUGUCCGUAGGAAAGAUCUUGAGUUUCAAGUGGGUGAUUGGGUGUUCUUGAAACUAUCUCUUUGGAAAGGGGUAGUACGUUUCGGUAAGCGUGGGAAGCUUAGUCCGAGGCAUAUUGGCCCUUAUGAGAUAAUAGAGCGAGUUGCCUCACUUGCUUAUCGAUUAGCCUUGCCUCCAGACUUAUCUAGGAUACAUAAUGUGUUUCAUGUAUCCAUGCUUCGCAAGUAUAUUGCCGAUCCUUCUCAUGUGUUGCAAGAGCAGCUGAUCAGUUUGACGACAGAUUUGUCUUAUGAAGAGGAUCCGGUUCAGAUUCUUGAUCGAAAGGAGCUAGUGCUCAGGAACAAGACAAUCCCACUUGUCAAGGUGCUUUGGAGAAGUAAUCAAGUAGAAGAAGCUACUUGGGAAUCAGAGGAGCAAACGAUGCAGCAGUAUCCCUAUCUCUUCGAAUGACAGGUAUGUAAAUUUCGAGGACGAAAUUUUUAUAAGGAGGGGAGAAUUGUCACAUCCCGACCCUUAAAUUUUUACCUUAUUUACUAGUUUGGUUAUAAUAAGAAUUUUACCGUCUCCGUCAAUGAAGUUAUAGUUUAAUUGGUCCCUAGAGGGGUUUUGGGGGACGAUUAUUCCGGAGAGUUAUUCGUAGAAGAAAAUUAUGACGACGGUAAAAAUGGUAAAUUUUAGCUAGUAAAAGUUAAUUUUUAUUAGGGUAUUAUUUUUGGGGUGUAAAUUUUGGAGUUGAGUUUGUUUUAGAGGAGGCUCACGUUUAAUUUUGCCCAUUCUGUUUAAUUAUUGGAUUUUUAGUGGGAAAUUAAUAUUAUAUUUGGAACAGGAUGUGAGGAGGCUCGAGCAGACGAGGCCCCAGAUCGACGUCAGGCUUAGGCCUAAUUUGUGAGUGGACUUUUGUUUUAAAUAAAAUGCAUGCUAUAGUUCAUAGAUGAACAAUUAAUGUUGUGGAGCAUUUUGACGUCAUUUUAUUUUGACGAUUUUUAUUUCUCUUGGAGAGUUACCGAAAAUGAGAUUUUCGGUGGAUUUAAAUAUGUAUUUAUGAGAGAGUAUGUAUAUAAAAGCUAGCUAGCCUAUGUGUCUGUCCACCUUAAUGGCGUAGCAUAUAGCCGCAUUAUGGUGUGACGUGAGCGUUGGACGUGAGCGUAGUAGCCCUAUUUGAGUGUUUAAUUCAUAUAGGGGUAUGGACACAUAUUUAUACACUUGUCUGUCCACCUUAAUGGCGUAGUGUAGCACCGCAUUAAGGCGUGACGUGAGCGUUGGACGCGAGCGUAGUAACCUUAUAUAGACCCAUGAAUUUAUAUAGGGAGUAUGGACGAGUGUAAAUACAUAUAUAUAUUUUAGAGUCUGAGAGGCUCGAUAUUUUAUGAGAUAAAUAAUUUAUCGCAUGCAGCAUGCAUUCGAUUUUUCCUUGGAAAGUGACUUGAGGAAACAUAAAUAUUUUUUAUUUAUUAUUUUAUUUUUUGUCCACUCACUCUAACGUUAUUAAAUGUUUUCCCCUAGGCCCUUAGUUUUAAAAUGCCCAGUCUGCAGAGUUCGGGUCAGAUCUAGUAGGAGGCGAGGCAUAGUCACCCACAUUUCCGCCAGUUUUCAUCAGUAGGUUACCUGUUUAACCUACUAGUGUUUUCUUGCUUCCGUUAGUGCCUAGUAGCUCUGAAUACUUUGGAUUAUUGUAAAUUAUUUCGGUGGUGUGCUCGGUCUGUUGAUUGUAUGUUGAGAAUGUUUGAAGGAUAAUGUUUGCUGUUUUUAGCUGGAUAUUUAUGUGAUGCUUGGACGUGUUACAGUAAGAGUGUAAAUUUAUAAUUUUCGAGUUAGGGUUGUCUAUUUUCAAGAGAGGUUUUACUAAUCUUUUCGGUAAAUUUUUCUUUGGAGGUGGUCUCCGCACGACUUACUCCGGGUUUCAUGGUGAAAUUCGGGGUGGGUCGUGUCACCAGUAGCCUCUACGGUACUCUUUUUGGAUGAGGAUUUGUUGGUUUGGCUAACUAUGCUUUGGCUGCUCUCUCCACUCCUACAUUUUCCUGAUUUGGAAGAUGAUGGAACAUUCAUUGAGCUGUUGUUAAGAUCACAUAGCUCCACCAGAAGCUUUUUAACCUCGGCAGACUUCAUCUUAAUUUCAACAUACCCCAUCUUCAGCCAUUUCUUGCAUAUACUUUCGAAGUUUUUGAUCUUGUAUCUUGGGUUUAACACCAAGGCAAUGAGCGUAAGCUGGUUGCAGUCAUCUGACGUGUCGCGUAACCGGGGUCAAACAACUUCAAUUUAAUUACCCUGCAAUCGUAGUAAUAUAGACAAGUAGGGAUCGUUCUAGCCGGGGAAACCAAAGGGCGAUCGAAAGAAGAUAAACCAAACAACUUAUAAACAAGUAUUCACAUAUAUAUAUUGAAAUAUUGGGGGUUUUAAGAUUGAUUAAUUCUAACAAAUAACCUACUGAAAAUUAAACCUAAGAUUAUUAUAUACAAGUGAUCAACAUACUCAUGCAACACAUAACACGAAAAACCAUCAAGAACACAUAACAACUUCAUGCAAGGCCGGGCAGCAACAUUCAAAUUAUCCUAGACUCUAACCAAUUCCGAUUCUAAUUAGAGCCUUUGCGGUUAUCUAAUUGUUAAGACUCCUCAAGUAUUUAGAACCAUCUUUGCGCUUGAUCCUAAACAUGAAUGCUAACUCAUUUAAAGACACGUUGCGUAGAGAUUAAACAAGAAAACACUUUAGCACACAAGUCAAUCGAAAACUUUAGCACACUUUAGCACACAAGUCAAGGUGGAUGGGUCCUUUUGUGGUUACAAAGGUGUGUCCUCAUGGAGCAGUUGAAAUUCAGAACUUAAGGAACAACUCUACAUUCAAGGUGAAUGGUCAACGUCUCAAGCCUUAUUUGGAGACUACUUUUGAGACCAAUGAGCAACGUGUUCCUCUCACUGAUCCUCCACAACAAUGAGCUUAAUAUGGUCUGGCUGAAGACAAUAAACUUAGCGCUUUCCGGGAGGCAACCCGAAGACCUUUGGAAGAAGAUGGAUGCGUGUUCAGCAUGGAAGAAGGCUUCUUAAUAUGCUCCUAUCUAUUGUCUUCAUACCAGGGACGUUUCCUAUCUCUUUUCUCCUAUUUUUGUUGUUAUUUUCAGAUUUUAGUUGUUUUGGUCAUGCUUUAUCCCCUUAUUUUCGUUACUGUAUUUGUUCUGCAACUUUUCGGGAUUGCAAGCUGUGUUGCAAUCCCUGUUCUGUGCUGAUUUUUCUUCACAUUGCGGACAAUGCUCAAUUUAAGUUUGGGGUGGGGAUUUCGUGUUUUGUUUUUGUUUGUGUGAUUUCUAGGUUUGUUUUAAGUUCUUUUAUUUAAAUUUUUUUUAAUUAAUAAUAAUAAAAAAGAGUCUAGUUUUAGGUUUAUUUUCAGUUGUGUCUUAGGAGUCUUCCAAACAUUGUGAUGAGUAAGAAUUUUUACAGGAAUGAUAUGGUCAUGAGAUGAGAACAAGCAUGUGUUAAUCCAUAACCUUAAAUAAUUGCUAAUGGAUUUUUAUGAUUAUCAUGCUUGAUUUGUUUUGCAUUAAUACUUGAUUUGAACCUUAUGUGAGAUUAUUGAGCCUAUUUGUGCUUUUCUUUUCUGAGUAAUUGCUUAGAUCAUCCUUAUUUCUUGACAUGAAGUUUUGUUGAUUUCACAUUUCGUUUUAUCUUGACUAGUCAUUGACCACAUCUCUUUAAUGAAACUAGAGAAUGCUAGAACUUGUCUUCACACCUGUCGAAGCUUUAUGCCAGUUAAAUGCUGGAACCUCUGAAAGGAUAUAGGCAUUAGGAUUAACCGUCAAAGCCAAAUAAGCUUGUGUCCUAUUGUUGCACACAAGUUGUGCUACCCUUAGAUUAACCCUUUGAGCCUACAUUGAGCCGUUUAUUUCUAAACCACAAAUUCUUUACCUUGAGCUUAGUGUAGAUAUAUCUUUACCCUAUCCUAAGGAAUUAGUGGAGCACAAUAUAUUUGGAGAUUCAUUGUGGUUAAGGUGGUACUGUUGUAAGCAAGUUUGGGGGAGCUACUUAUCGAUUCAAGGAAGGAAAAGAGGAAAAAUAAAGUUGUUGGCUGUUGAAAAAAAGAAGAAACAAAAUAUGCAUAGCCAAAGAGAAAAGGAAGAAAAAAAAUCAAAAGAUGUAAAAAGUUAGCUUCCUUGAAUCUGAUUCAUUGUUGGUUGUAGUUGGGAAGGUUAGAAUGAAGCAAAGGCCCAAAACGGUGACAUCUGGCCUCAUAGAAGAAGAAGAAAAAUCUGAUUACUUGCUUCAUGAAAUUUCAAGUUCAAUGCCUCAAGGAGACAUCAUUGUAGUGCUCUACUAAAUUUCCUUAGGAUCUUUGUGUUUCCUUAUCCCUUCUUUCAUGAAACCCUACACCCUUUGGCCCCAUUACAACCUGAAACAAAGUCCUAUUUGAUCAUUGGGGAUGGCAGCUGGUCUGUUGGAGAUUUUUGUGUGGAGAUGAGCCUAUGGCUUGGGUUUCAUUUGGUCAAUGUCUGGUAUCGUUCGUGAAAUCUGAUUAAACAAUUAUAUUUAUAAAGAGCAUUCUUGUUAUUUACGUGAGCUAUUUGUUUUGUACAUAUUAUCUCUCUCACGUACAUAGGAUGUGUGCAAAAGUCAGAAAAUCAUGAGUGAAAAGAUUGGAGUGCACCCUUGCGAGGAAUCAAGUUGAAACAUGAGAUUUUGAGCAGGAUGGUUAUCAAAAUGGAUUAGUUUUUAAGUGAGGUUGUGAAUUAAUAUUGUGACUGUUUGAAUCUUGAUUGACCAUAUGUGUGGGCAUUAUAGUUCUCUGAUAUGUUUGGAAGGCGUUAGGUUUGUGUUUAGUUUUCUUGUUUUGCUCGAGGACUAGCAAUAUCUAAGUUUGGGGGUAUUUGAUAGAUUCAUAUUUCAUACAUUUUUAUACCCUUAGAUACAUGAUUAUAUGCUUAGUUCUUGUCAAUUGUAAGUCAUUUACUUGGUUUUUAUGUUUUGUAGGUUAAGUUGGAGAAAAAGAGAAUUUGGAGCUAAGUGAUCCAGAAACUGCCCUGCUGUGCGUCAACUUUGAGGAUUAAACUGUACCUGCUCACAAGGAAUCUAGAGGCGAGCCAUACAUCAUUGGAAAGCUACAGAUGUUAGCUUUCUGAGGAAUUUUGCAGAAGUGAAUUUGCAUUUUUCUAGAGCAAGUUAUGAAGGUUUGAGUGAACGCAGCGCGUGGAGGCAGAUUCUGACGAAUUUUGUGUUUCUUCUCAUGAUUCCAAUUUGUGAAGUCCAAGUCCAUCAAUCUUAAUACUACAAGUAAAGGGGCUGAACGUGGCUAACAUAUUUGGAAGGUUACUCUUGCAUUGACAAUAAUAACCUUGUGUUAUUUGGAGAGAAGAAAGCUAUUCCAUAGCGGACAAGGAGACUAAAAAGCCCAAAUCAAUUGGGAUUUCAAGAAGAAUAAAAGAGAACCCUAAGCACGUUAAAGAGGGAGGAGAUACGGCAGAACAGGGAGGCAGCAAGGAACGCAGAGGAAAAGAAGAACAGAGCUUCACCAUCGCUCAACCCGAGUUCCUAUCUCUUCCAUUGUUUCUUCCAUGCUAUCUUUAUUUCUAGUCAUGUUUUCUUUAUCUAUGAAUUUCUAAACUUCUAGCUAGGGCUGAGAUGAAGCCCCUAGUAUGAUUACUCUAUUUCUUUAGUUCAUUGCUUUGAUUCAAUGAAUUGCUCUGUUAAAUUCUCAAUCACCGUUUUAAUAGAACUUUUAUUCAAAAUCUUUGCUCGGGAUCAAUAAGACCUAGGUUUUGUUUAUUAGUUAUUUGGUUUGAAAACAUGAGGCUUGAUUGAGAGUAGAUGUUUUCUAGGGUUCCAAAGGAUUUAUUUAAUCUUGUGAUUAGAGAGUUGUAAGUUAAGAAUACAAGUGCUUGAUCAUAGUCGAUAUUCUUGUUUACAUGAUUUCCUAGUUCUUUUGUGCUUAAUGGAGUUGAACAUGUUUUACUUGAACCUGAUCAUAACGUGAAGUAGAUUAUAGUUUGACUACUUGAGUUCUAUACGGGAUCAAUAAGUUAGAAUUCAUUGUUUAGAAGAACUUUAGCAUAUGUCCGGGAUCAAUAAGGUUUAUGUACGGAAAUCUUUAGCAUGCAAUCUAGGGAGUUCAAUUGCUAUCAACUAGAGAGAAGGGUAGGCGUAUUAGGUGGUGGAUUCAAAGCUUUAUCAUCUUUAUAAUCUGUUCUUAAACUCUUAGAAAUUUCAUUGUUCUCUUGUCUUUAAUUUCAGUUUUAUUACUUUAUUUUCUGUUUUCAAUCCAAACAUCAUAAAAUCAUAUUGUUAUUUCAUUAGGUGUAGUAUAAUUGGCAUAAUAAGUUGUUCUAAUCAAUCCAUAGAGGGAACGACCUGGUGCUUGCACUUCUAUUCUAUAAGUGGUUCGUGCACUUGCAAGUACUAUAUUAAAACAUACAACAGUACGACCCUCCUGCUAGGUCAUAGCAUGAUGUCUAGCGCGAAUCAUGGGACGUCCAUGCUGACCACCACCCUGCUGAGAGCUACCUCUGGCCGAUGCACUGCCCUAAGCACCACUACUGGAGCCUCUAGUUGAAGACUGACUACCUAGAUGGGUAAGGGUGAGGGUGGUCCUCUGAGCCAAUAAUGGACAAUCUCUCCUGAAGUGGUCCUGACUACCACACUCAAAACACCCAGAAAACUGCUGCUGCCCAUAAGAAAAAGUCUAACCACCAGACGUUCCACCCUGGAAGCUGCCACCAGAACAAAACUGUCUAGUCUGCUGCCUACCCAACUGGCUCCGUGAAGAACUUCUGAAACGUCCCUUAGACUUGCUUCGAAAACCAGAGCUAUAUCUACCACUAUUGCCACUACCAGCUGAAGAUCCAAAAGAGGAUGAACAAGCAGCUUUCUUGGAUGGUCCCUGACUAGGACCACUAAAAUCUCGUGGCCGAGCACUAUAAAUCCCCAUAGACUCAAUGGCCAUGGCCGUACUAACAACAUCAAGAAAGGUCGAGUGAUAAACACCCGUCAUCUUGUCUACAUACACUCCACCAAGUUCCCCAAUGAACAUCUCCAUCCUGGUCCUCUCAUCAGGAACCAGAUAUGACACAUGGUAGCUCAGGGUAGUGAACCUCUGCUCAAACUCUAUGACACCCUCAUCAUCCCUCUUCUUCAUGUUCAGGAAGUCCGACUGAAUCCUGCUGCGAUGGGCAUGGCUGAAAUACUACCCUAAGAAGAGGGUCUUGAACAGUUCCCAAGACAUACCCUGAGCACCAUCAAUAUUUCUGCUAGCGAGGGACCACCAAUGAUGAGCUGAAUCAUCUAGAAAAGUCACUACCAUCUUCACCUUCCUUUCUUCUGGCAAAUCAGUGCUAGCAAAAGCAUUUUCCAUUUUGUCCACCCAAUUGUAAGCAUCAAGGGGUCCCUUGGCACUCUUGAACUCUCUUGCUCCAGCCUCAUAAACUUCUCUCCUCUUCACCAUAUGAGGGUGUGGAGCUCGAUCUAUAACAUCCCUCAGCAUAUUCCCAAGAUCAUCAACUAGUCCCCUGACCUCAUUGCCAUCAUUGGCAUUGGUCGAAGUGGCUACACGGGGUUAGCGUGGGCGCCUAGGAGGCAUAGUACCUGAGGAAGAAGAUAUUUAGUAGUCCAUAAACAAGACUAACACAACUAUCACACAUACCCAAUAACACAUAGCAUCAUAAGCAAAAAUGCUAAUGAAUCCGCCACGGUCAGAUCAUCACUCUAUAGACACCACGUGCUACUUAGGCAAAUAUGAUAGUGACAAGGAAGCAGGAAAAGGAAACCUAAAGCUCUGAUACCAACUGUCAAGAUCCACCCCGAAUUUUACCCUAAAACCCGAAGUAAAUCCUGCGGGGACCACCUCCAAGGAAGAUAUUACCAAAAAUUUUGCAUAACCUCCCUUGAAAAUGGACAACCCUUCCUAAACUUCUAAAAAUUCUCAAUCCAACCUUAACUUCUAGAGCCUACGUGCUCCCUAAAAACAACCACCACCAACAGCAAUAAAAAGAUCAACUUCCAGAUCAUCACAUAAUUAUCCCACUAAAAUAGCAUACAUCUUCCUUUAAAUAUUCUAAAAUGUAAUCAAGCCUUCGCCCACAACCGAAAUCAUAUUAUACAAUCCCCAAGGGAAAAUCAAAGCUACUAGACACUAGAGGAAGCAAGAAAAACACUGGUAGGUUAAAUAGAUAACCUACUGAUGAAAGGUGGUGGAAAUGCGGGUGACUAUGCCUCGCCUCCUACUAGAUCCAACCCAAACUCUGCAGACUGGACAUUUUAAAAAGAAGGGCCCAAGGGAAGACAUUUGAAACCGUUAGAGUGAGUGGAAAAAAAUAAAUUUAAAAAGAAAUAAAUCUUUAUGCUUUCCUGAUUUAACUUCUAUGGAAAAACAAUUAACGGCAUGCAACAAGCUCAAAACCUUUUAAAAAUUUACCGAAUUUACCAAAACGUGACUAGCCACGCUAGUCACCAACACUUAAAAAAAAUAGAGCCUCUCAAGCUAAAAUAAAAUAAGUAUGUAUUAUACUGGUCAUAUCCCUUAUAUAAAUUUUCUUGAAACAACAAAGACAAAUAGAAAUUCACACGAGGCUACGGCACAUGCGUCUUACGCUCACGUCGCACCAUAAUGAAAUUUUACCUCAUUAUGGUGGAAAAGACGGUGUAUAUAUACGCGCAUAUCCCCUAUAUAAAUUAUUAUAUUUAUAUAAGGCUACGACGAUUGCGUCUAACGCUCACGUCGCACCAUAAUGGAAUUUUACCUCAUUAUGGUGGAAAAGCACGUAUAGCUAGCUAGCAUUUCUUUAUAUACAUAUUAUUCUCAUAAUCACCGAAAUUCUCAAUUUCGGUUGUUCUCUAACAACGUAAAUUAUUUCGCAUGCACAUUAUUUAAAACAAAAGUCCACUCACAAAAUAGGCCUAAGCCUGAUGUUGAUCCGAGGCCUCUUAUGCUCGAGCCUCCUCACGUCCUGUUCCAAAUAUACAAUUAAAUUACCAACCAAAAAUCCCUUACUUACUCAAAAAUAAGCAAAUUAAACAUGAGUCAUAACCACGCUCAUUCUCGGCUAACUUCGAUAUUCCUAAAUCGAAAUGAUCCAAACUUUAAUACCAUAAUCGGCAGCCGUAACUACAACCUCCCCCAGAAAACGACUUAAAUCCUACGGCCGGAUUCCACAUUAAUUAACCGCCAAAAAUACCAAACUUCGGAAAUUCACAAACCUAUCCAAAACUCAUCCAAAAAUUCCAUAAUUCACAUCAAUAAACUCCCUGCAAUAUUCCACAUUUAAAACUAUAAAAAUCUCCCAAACAGCAGCGGCGGCGCCGCCAGCUCCGCCGGCAGCGGUGGUCGGAGGCCGACUCCGGCGACCUCCAAUGCCUAUGAAAUUUUGACAGAAUCUUCCUCCCAACUCCCUCUACAACUUUCCUAACUAGCACAAACACCAAUUCCAAGCCUAACUAGGUCAAUCGAGCAAAAACAUCCAUAAAUCUAUAGAACUUCAAUUAAACAUCUCUCCUUAACAAGACCGAAUUAAGUCGAUUCCUUUUGAGGGAUCACUAACCUUGAAGAGAGCUACAAGAUGAGCCAAAAAUCUCGAGCUAUGGUGGUCGGAGGUGGGAGCUCCGGCGAAUGACAGUCCGACGUCUCCGGUGGAAAAUCUCCCGAUCGGCGGCGUUACUGGCGCGGGCACUAGGCCGGGAAGAGAGAGGAGACGGCGGGGGUCCAAACUGGGGUGGUCCGGCAGUCUACAGUGGCCGGACGGCAGCGGGUGGUCGGCGGCAAGCUUCCAGCAGUGAGAGUGAGAGAGAGAGAGCUUCGGGAGGAAGAGAGAGAACUGAGGGGAGAGAAAUGGUUUGGGCUUCCCCAAACCGGUCCAACACCUUAUACAAACCCAACUCCAAAUAUUUACACCACAAAAUAAUACCCUAAUAAAACAAAUUACCUUUUACUAGCUAAAAUUUACCAAUUUUACCGUCGUCACACUUCCCUCCUACGAAUAAUUCCUCCGAAAUAAUCGUCCCUCAAAACCCCUCUAAGGACCAACUAAACUAUAAUCUCAGUGACGAAGACGGUAAAACUCUUAUUAAAUACCAAGCUAGUAAUUAAGGUAAAAAUUUAAGAGUCGGGAUGUGACACUAACACUCACGUCACGCCAUAAUGGAAUUUUACCUCAUCAUGACGGACCAAACACGUAUGGCUAGCUAGCAUUUAUAUAUAUACUAUACUCAUAAACAUCCAAUAUACAUAUCCACCGAAAAUCUCAUUUUCGGUAACUCUCCAAAAGAUGAAAAUUGCCAAAUAUCAGAGAAAUCAAUAAAUUUCAGCAGAAGAAUAACUGAUCAACAGUAUAAUGCAUCGCAUGUUUUUAAUUAAAACAAAAGUCCACUCACAAAAGUCCACUUCCGAGGCCUCUUCUGCUCGAGCCUCCUCACGUCCUGUUCCAAAUAUAUAAUUAAUUUCCCAAAUAAAAGUUCAAUAUCUACACAAAAUAGGCAAAAUUAAAUGUGAGCCUUAACCACGCUCAUCAUUGCCUAACUUUGAAAUUUCUAAUUCGAAAUGUUCCAAACUUCAAUACCAUAAUCGGCAGCCUUAUUACAACCUUCCACAGAUUAAACAACUUUAAUCCAACUGCCGGAUUCUAUCCUAAUUAACCGCCAAAAUACCAAACUUUGAAAAAUCCCAAACCUAUCCAAAAUUCUUCAAAAAAUUCCAAACUUCGCAUCAUUAAACUCCCCUUAAUGUAACCAAUUUAAAACCAUGAAAAUCCCCCAAACAGCGGCGGCCGGAGGCCGACUCCGGCGACCUUCAAUGCUUACUAAAUUUGACAGCAUCUUCCUCUCAACUCCCUCUACAACUUUCCUAACUAGCACAAACACCAAUUCCAAGCCUAGAUAAGGUAAUCAAACAAAAACAUCAAAUGAGCUCUAGAAUUUCAACUCCAUAUUUCUCCUUACCUAACUCAAGAAGGAGUGAAACCUUGGGAGGGUUGAAUGCACGGGAAGAGAGCUUUCUUUUGAGCCAAGUAGCUUCGGCUAUGGCGGCCGGAGGAGGGAGUUUCGGCGACGGGGAGCUACGGGCAGUCGGGACUUUCGGGCUUGGUUUCUCUCUCACGGCGGCGCUAGGGAGGCUGCCACCGGUCCAGGAAGGAAGAGGGAACAAGGGCCGACUGAUUGGGACCGGAGUGGCGGUCUGAGGCAGGCGGACGGCGGCGGGCGGACGGCUUGAAAUUCUGGCAGGGAGAGAGGGCUCGGAGAGAAAUCGGGUGAGGAGAGAGAGAAGUGAGGGGAGAGUUAUGUUGGGCUUUCCCAACCGGUCCUAACCCAACAACAAUAAAACCCAACUCCAAAAUUAAUACCCCAAAAUAAUACCCCAAUAAAAAUUACUUUUUGCUAGCUAAAAUUUACCAUUUUUACCGUCGUCACAUUUUUCUCCCAGGAAUAAUUCCUUCAAAUUAAAUGUCCCAAAAACCCCUCUAGGGUCCAUUUAAACUAACAACUCAUUGACGAAAACGGUAAAAUUCUUAUUAAUACCAAGCUAGUAAAUAAGGUAAAAAUUUAAGAGUCGGGUUGUGACAGUAAAUCUGUUGUACAAACUCACUUCAUAAAAUAUUCUGUCACGCCCCGAAUCUUAAUUUUUACCUUUAUUACUGGCAUAGUGAUAUCAUGAGUUUUUACCGUGUUCGUCACUAAGUGUGUAAUUUAAUUAAUUCCCAGAGGGUGUUGAGGGACUAAUAUUUUGAGGGAAUUAUUCUAAGGAAGAAUUUUUGACGACGGUAAAAAAUAGUAAUUUUUGUUAGUAAAAGGUAAUUUUAUUGGGGUAUUAUUUCGGGGUGUUGAAUUUUGGAAUUUUGGGUUAAAAGGAGUGUUGGGUCGGCUGGGCCGAGCCCAACCCAUUUCUCCUUCUUUUCCUUUCUCUCUCUCUCUCUCCCGUUUUCUCUCCUCCCACCCGAAUUUCUUCUCCCUCCACCCGGAAAAAUUCACCACCGCUGCCCGCCGCCGUCCGGCCACCAGCCGCCGCCGCUCCAGCCCAGAUCGGACCCCCGUCACCUCCUCUUCCUCCCCGGCCUAGUGUCCGAGCCGGUGGUGCCGCCGAAGAGAAGAAAAGCCGUCGGAACCGCCGACUGUCCCUUCGCCGGAGCUCCGUCUUCCGGCCACCAUAGGUCGUGAUUUUUGGCUCAACUUGUAGCCCUCAUCUAGGUGAGUAAUCCCUCAAAAGGUUUCGGCUAAAUUCGAUUUCGUUAGGGAGGUUUGUUUAAUUGAAAGUUUUAAGGAUUUAUGGUUGUUUGUGUUCGAUCGAN
RNAcentral lists this long non-coding RNA (68726 nucleotides) under Fragaria vesca (wild strawberry). RNAcentral's name for it is "long non-coding RNA (FVES_LNC005480)". The record is from RNAcentral. Lineage: Eukaryota; Viridiplantae; Streptophyta; Magnoliopsida; Rosales; Rosaceae.